RNAcentral lists this long non-coding RNA (63000 nucleotides) under Triticum aestivum (bread wheat). RNAcentral describes it as "long non-coding RNA (TAES_LNC000391)". The record is from RNAcentral. Lineage: Eukaryota; Viridiplantae; Streptophyta; Magnoliopsida; Poales; Poaceae.
UCGAGACUCCUCGUCAUGUCCCUGAUCUUAUCCGGGACUCCAAACUCCUUCGGUACAUCAAAACACAUAAACUCAUAAUAUAACCGUCAUCUAACUUUAAGCGUGCGGAUUCUACGGGUUCGAGAACUAUGUAGACAUGACCGAGACACGUCUCCGGUCAAUAACCAAUAGCGGAACCUGGAUGCUCAUAUUGGCUCCCACAUAUUCUACGAAGAUCUUUAUCGGUCAGACCGCAUAACAACAUACGUUGUUCCCUUUGUCAUCGGUAUGUUACUUGCCCGAGAUUCGAUCGUCGGUAUCUCAAUGNNNNNNNNNNCUAGUUCAAUCUCGUUACCGGCAAGUCUCUUUACUCGUUCCGUAAUACAUCAUCCCACAACUAACUCAUUAGUUGCAAUGCUUGCAAGGCUUAUAGUGAUGUGCAUUACCGAGUGGGCCCAGAGAUACCUCUCCGACAAUCGGAGUGACAAAUCCUAAUCUUGAAAUACGCCAACCCAACAAGUACCUUCGGAGACACCUGUAGAGCACCUUUAUAAUCACCCAGUUACGUUGUGACAUUUGAUAGCACACAAAGUGUUCCUCCUGUAAACGGGAGUUGCAUAAUCUCAUAGUCAUAGGAACAUGUAUAAGUCAUGAAGAAAGCAAUAGCAACAUACUAAACGAUCGAGUGCUAAGCUAACGGAAUGGGUCAAGUCAAUCACAUCAUUCUCCUAAUGAUGUGAUCCCGUUAAUCAAACGACAACUCAUGUCAAUGGCUAGGAAACAUAACCAUCUUUGAUCAACGAGCUAGUCAAGUAGAGGCAUACUAGUGACACUCUGUUUGUCUAUGUAUUCACACAUGUAUUAUGUUUCCGGUUAAUACAAUUCUAGCAUGAAUAAUAAACAUUUAUCAUGAUAUAAGGAAAUAAAUAAUAACUUUAUUAUUGCCUCUAGGGCAUAUUUCCUUCAGUCUCCCACUUGCACUAGAGUCAAUAAUCUAGUUCACAUCGCCAUGUGAUUUAACAUCAAUAAUUCACAUCACCAUGUGAUUAGCACCCAUAGUUCACAUUGUCAUGUGACCAACACUGUCGUGGAAUUGUCACGGCAGAUGUCCUUGGUGUCAGGACUUAGUCGCGAGGCCAACGCAUCUAUGUGGUAGCUUGAGAGGGGUUGAGUGGAAUCGAGAGAUGCAACACAAGACGAGGAUUUAGACAGCUUCGGGCCCCGGGAAACAUCAUCCGGUAACAACCCUACAUGUUGUUUGAGGCUAGGUCUCAUUAUGAUCACGGGAGAGUCGUCGGGAACCGGCUCUCGGUGUCUAGCCCUAGAGAUUGUUUCUUCUUGCCUGUCCCUCUUGGGGAGCCCUGCCCCUCCUUAUAUAAGUUAGAGGGGCGGGUUACAUGUGGAGUCCUAGUAGGACUAGGACUAGUCUAUCUUUUCUUACAAGUUGAAUACAAGUCCGGGUCUUGCUUCCUCGUAAAGGAAAUAUUCGUCAUCCCUUUCUUCUUAAGCCGGCCCACCAUCACAUGAACCGGCCUUCUGGGCCUUGGGCCUUGUCAUCCAUCUGACCCGCCGUUGGGGUUAUCAGGAAGUCACCAAAUACUCGCCGGGUCUCUAUGAACCGCCAAGUCCGGCCGGGUCAUACCGCGUGGUAUAUCCCCGACAUUAGCCCCCAGUUUAAUUUGGAUUUAUCCAUGUUAAACUGAUCUUGUAAAAUAAACACAAGAACAAACUUGAUAGGUUGUGUUCCGGGUUAAAUAUUUUCCUGAACCGGCACCUGAUCAUCUUUAAGUCCUUGUCAUUUCCUUGUUGAUAUGUAUAUGUCCAUGAUCUCAUAGUAAAUCUUCUUUAGCAGAUAUGUUUCAACUUUGUCAAUACAAAAAAUCCAGAUACUUCUUUUGAAAAGUCCGGGUCAAUGGGCCAGCUUCAGAGUCAAUUUGCUGACAUUGGUCUCUUGUAGAGAAAUGUUGUGAAGAAUAAUCCACUUGAGUCGGCUUUCAAAGCGCCGGCUUAAGAAAAUAUUGGUCUUGAAAUACUCAUCUGAUAUUCAGCCGGUUUAAAGAUGUAGAACUUGCCGGUUUAAUAUUACCAAAGUUGCCGGUUUGUAAAUAUUGAUGGCACCGAGUCAUAAUUGUUGCCGACGCCGGGUCAUAAUUUUUGAUGACGCCGGGCUAUGAUUGUUGCAGACACCAGGUCAUAAUGAUUGGUGACGACGGGUCAAUCUGAUUUGCUCAAAAACUGAGAAUUCGAAAGUAUUUCUCCUUAUAUCCGUGUUACCUGUAGCCCCCAAGUGACGGGUUGUCAUGCUUGCAUCAACCUGGGACUUGUAAUUGUCUUAUGCUCACAAAACUUCAACCGGUGUAGCCUCCAAGGGCCGGGUCAUUAUGCAGUAAUGAGCAGGGACUUUGUAGAUGUAGACUUGAGCAGCAACAUGUAGCCCCCAAGGGCCGGCUCAGUAAGAUAAUAUUGAGCUAGGACUUUAUAUAUAUUUCCUUGAAAAGAAUACCAUAUGUUGUAAUCCUCUCCAUGGGGCCCGAACUCACGUCCAUAAGGUUAAGAGCUUUGUACUCUUCCAACUGAGUAGUGGACCUUUCAAUAUAAUGGAUUUAAACUUGUGUACCUUGAAUUGUUGACAGGAGCAAUUGGUAGCCCCCAAGGGCCGGCUCAUUACAAUGUGAUGAGUCGGGUCUUCAAUAAGGCCAGUAAAAAUGACUUUGCAUUAGCCCCCAAGUGCCAUGGUGCAUGCUCGCAGUGACAUGGGACUUGCAUAUUUGAUGUAAUCUCAACUUUGAAUAAUGUAGCCCCCAAGUGCCGGGUCGUAAGCCUGCAGUGACUCGGGACUAUUCCUUCCAUUGUAGAAUAAAUCAUAUCCAUUGAUAAAAUAAUAGCCAUUGCGCCAAAGCGACUUUGAAUACCUCAUCUGUUGAUAAGUAAACCCGGAGUUUAAAUACCCGGCGGCUCUUGGCCGAUGGCAAUUUAAUACGCCUCCAUUGUAAGCCGGAACUUUUAUAACCCGGCGACUUAUAGCCUUUGAGAAAAUCAAGAAUUGAUAACCCUUUUGAGACACCAAUUUUGAUCUUUGAUGAUGGGCUUGAACUUAAUCAUUUAUGUAAGUCAUAGCUCUGUAAAUCCUGCACAGAGAUUAAACAACAUAUGCCCUGGCGACUUAACGUCAAAAGCCAGGACGGGUAACCACCCAAAUGUAGUCUUAUCCUGCACACAAGUAGAUCACAAAAUCCCUUGACGGUUUACCGCAGGGCGGGUCAUAAUAUCUCACAUAUAACCAUUGUGAUAUUGAAUUUGUACUGCCGGUUUAAAUGACCUGUGCAGUAAGGGUGAUAACCCAAUCUUUAGAAAUCAAGACUUCCAAAUGUUUAUGAUUGUCAUAUGAUGGCGACUUAUUAUCCAAAGUCAAACCGGGUUAAAUAGCAACCACUCAUAUACACUUUAGAUAUGAUCAAAAGAGCUUCAAAUAAAAUCCGAAAACUGUUUGCAAAAAGAGACUUCAAAAAUUUUGAGGCUUCUGAUUCGAAUACGAUCAGAAAACUGUCCCAAAGGGGUCAAGCUAAGAUUCGAAUACGAUCAUAUAGCCCCCAGUGGCUUUGGCGUUGCCGAUCAAGAGGGUACCGACAGCUAUGUUCUCUUUGGUUCGAAUACGACCUAUGUUUGAACAGGAAGCCCCCAAAUGACCUUGAGAGUUGUUUAAUGACGCUGAUUCGAAUACGAUCCACGUCGGUUCCCAAAAGGGGUUGAGCUAUGAUUCAAAUACGAUCAAGAAGCCCCCUAGUGAGCUCGGCAGUGUGCCGAUCAAGAGGGUACCGACAACUAUGUUCUCUUUGGUUCGAAUAUGACCUAUGUUUGAACAGGAAGCCCCCAAGUGAUCAUAAGAAUAUUUAACGACUCUGAUUCGAAUACGAUCAGGGUCACACCAAAAGGGUUAAGCUAAAUUCGAAUACGAUCAGCUCCCAAUGGUUAUUAAAGCAGGAUACCUAUGUUUGGGUGGUGCCUUGUAACAGACUCCUUUUUGGUCCCUUUAAUUUUUCCCGAGAACUCGAACUUUGCGAGAGAUAGAUUCUUUUUGAACCGGAAAAAACCAGAUAUUGAGAAUUUGAAAGCUUUGUGAUAGACAAAUUUACCUUGAACCGGAUUUUGAGAGCUUCAAAAUCUUGUGGCAGAUAAAUUUCCCUUGAAGCAGAUUUUAAACCGGAUAUUAAGAGCUUCAGUGCUUUGUGGGAGACGUCAAGUCUCUUGAGCCGGAUCUAAACCGGAAUCCUUCUUUUUAAGCCGGAAAAAUUCUCACGGCCUUUAAACUUUUCAUCAAUAUAGCGGUAGCCUCCGGGACCGAAUUAUUUUUCCCUCCAAUGACCCGAAGUCCUUGAAUGCAUUGAAACCGACCAAUGCUGCCGAGUUAUAUCAUUGUAGCCCCCGAGUCUCAAGAUGACUCAAGGAGUUGGCUUUGAGAUUCUCCAUAUUGACCAUAACAUAAGGUGUAUAUCAUUGGUGUUGAUAACACGAUGUAAAUGUUGGGGAACAUAGCAGAAAUUCAAAAUUUUCUACGCAUCACCAAGAUCAAUCUAUGGGGUAAUCUAGCAACGAGGGGAAGGGGAGUGAAUCUACAUACCCUUGUAGAUCGCGAUGCGGAAGCGUUGCAAGAACGCGGAUGAGGGAGUCGUACUCGUAGCGAUUCAGAUCGCGGUUGAUUCCGAUCUAAGCACCGAAAGAACGGUGCCUCCGCGUUCAACACACGUGCAGCCCGGUGACGUCUCCCACGCCUUGAUCCAGCAAGGAGAGAGGGAGAGGUUGGGGAAGACUCCAUCCAGCAGCAACACGACGGCAUGGUGGUGGUGGAGGAGCGUGGCAAUCCCGCAGGGCUUCGCCAAGCACCGCGGGAGAGGAGGAGGAAGAAGAGGGGUAGGGCAGCACCAAAAAGGAGACGUUCUCAUGUCUGUAUGGCAGCCCAAACCUCAAGUAUAUAUAGGGGGGAAGGGGGCUGCGCCCCCUUUAGGGUUUCCACCCCCAAGAGGAGGCGGCCAGCCCUAGAUCCCAUCAAGGGGGGCGGCCAAGGGGAGGAGAGGGGGAGGCGCCCCACUAGAUGGGCCCUAAGGCCCAUCUGGACCUAGGGUUUGCCCCCUCCCACUCUCCCAUGCGCCUGGGCCUUGGUGGGGGGGCGCACCAGCCCACCUGGGGCUGGUCCCCUCCCACACUUGGCCCACGCAGCCUUCUGGGGCUGGUGGCCCCACUUGGUGGACCCCCGGGACCCUCCCGGUGGUCCCGGUACAUUACCGAUUUCACCCAAAACUUUUCCGGUGACCAAAACAGGACUUCCCAUAUAUAAAUCUUUACCUCCGGACCAUUCCGGAACUCCUCGUGACGUCCGGGAUCUCAUCCGGGACUCCGAACAACAUUCGGUAACCACGUACAUACUUUCCCUAUAACCCUAGCGUCAUCGAACCUUAAGCGUGUAGACCCUACGGGUUCGGGAACCAUGCAGACAUGACCGAGACGUUCUCCGGUCAAUAACCAACAGCGGGAUCUGGAUACCCAUGUUGGCUCCCACAUGUUCCACGAUGAUCUCAUCGGAUGAACCACGAUGUCGGGGAUUCAAUCAAUCCCGUAUGCAAUUCCCUUGUCCAUCGGUAUGUUACUUGCCCGAGAUUCGAUCGUCGGUAUCCCUAUACCUUGUUCAAUCUCGUUACCGGCAAGUCUCUUUACUCGUUCCGUAACUCACAUCAUCCCGUGAUCAACUCCUUGGUCACACUGUGCACAUUAUGAUGAUGUCCUACCGAGUGGGCCCAGAGAUACUUCUCCGUUUACACGGAGUGACAAAUCCCAGUCUCGAUUCGUGCCAACCCAACAGACACUUUCGGAGAUACCCGUAGUGCACCUUUAUAGCCACCCAGUUACGUUGUGACGUUUGGCACACCCAAAGCAUUCCUACGGUAUCCGGGAGUUGCACAAUCUCAUGGUCUAAGGAAGUGAUACUUGACAUUAGAAAAGCUCUGAGCAAACGAACUACACGAUCUUGUGCUAGGCUUAGGAUUGGGUCUUGUCCAUCACAUCAUUCUCCUAAUGACGUGAUCCCGUUAUCAACGACAUCCAAUGUCCAUGGUCAGGAAACCGUAACCAUCUAUUGAUCAACGAGCUAGUCAACUAGAGGCUUACUAGGGACAUGGUGUUGUCUAUGUAUCCACACAUGUAUCUGAGUUUCCUAUCAAUACAAUUCUAGCAUGGAUAAUAAACGAUUAUCAUGAACAAGGAAAUAUAAUAAUAACCUAUUUAUUAUUGCCUCUAGGGCAUAUUUCCAACAGUCUCCCACUUGCACUAGAGUCAAUAAUCUAGUCCACAUCACCAUGUGAUUAACAUUCAUAGGUCACAUCACCAUGUGACCAACACCCAAGAGUUUACUAGAGUCAACAAUCUAGUUCACAUCACCAUGUGAUUAACACUCAAUGAGUUCUGGUUUGAUCAUGUUAUGCUUGUGAGAGAGGUUAUUAGUCAACGGGUCUGAACCUUUCAGAUCCGUGUGUGCUUUACGAAUAUCUAUGUCAUCUUGUGGAUGCUACCACGCGCUAUUUGGAGCCAUUUCAAAUAAUUGCUCUACUAUACGAAUCCGGUUUACUACUCAGAGUCAUCCGGAUUAGUGUCAAAGUUCGCAUCGACGUAACCCUUUACGACGAACUCCUUUCCACCUCCAUAAUCGAGAAAAUUCCUUAAUCCACUAGGUACUAAGGAUAAGUUCGACCGCUGUCAUGAGAUCCUUUCCCGGAUCACCAUUGUACCCUCUUGACCAACUCAUGGCAAGGCACACUACAUGUGCGGUACAUAGCAUAGCAUACUAUAGAGCCUACGUCUAAAGCAUAGGGGACGACCUUCGUCCUUUCUCUAUCUUCUGCUGUGGUCAGGUCUUGAGUCUCACUCAAUACUCACACCUUGUAACACAGCCAAGAACUCCUUCUUUGCUGAUCUAUUUUGAACUCUUUCAAAAUCAUGUCAAGGUGUGCUGUCUUUUGAAAGUAUCAUCAGGAGUCUUGAUCUAUCUCUAUGGAUCUUGAUGCCCAAUAUGUAAGUAGCUUUAUCCAGGUCUUCCUUUGAAAAACUCCUUUCAAACAACCCUUUAUGCUUUCCAGAAAUUUUACAUCAUUUCGGAUCAACAAUAUGUCAUUCACAUAUACUUAUCAGAAAUGUUGUAGCGCUCCCACUCACUUUAUUGUAAAUACAAGUUUCUAACAAACUUUGUAUAAACCCAAAAACUUUGAUCACCCCAUCAAAGCGUAUAUUCUGACUCCGAGAUGCUUGCUCUAAUCCAUGGAAGGAUCGCUGGAGCUAGCAUACCUUUUAGCAUCCUUUAGGAUCGACAAAACCUUUCUGAUUGUAUCACAUACAACCUUUCCUUACGAAAACUGGUAAGGAAACUUGUUUUGACAUCCAUCUACCAGAUUUCAUAAAUGUAGCUAAUGCUAACAUGAUUCCGACGGACCUAAGCAUCGCUACGGAUGAGAAAAACUCAUCGUAGUCAACUCCUUGAACUUGUGAAAAUACUCUUUGCCACAAGUCGAGCUUCAUAGACGGUAACAUUACCGUCCACGUCCGUCUUCUUCUCAAAGAUCCAUUUAUCUCGGAUUUCAUGGUUUCUAACCAUUUGUCAGAAUAUGGGCCCACCAUCGCUUCUCCAUAGCUCGUAGGUUCAGUAUUGUCCAACAACAUGAUAUCUCAGACAGGAUCACGUACCACUCUGAAGUAGUGCGCAUCCUCGUCGUCCUACGAGGUUUGGUAGUGACUUGAUCCGAAGUUUCAUGAUCACUAUCAUAAGCUUCCACUUCAAUUGGUGUAGGUGCCACAGGAACAACUUCAUGUGCCCUGCUACACACUAGUUGAAGCGACGGUUCAAUAACCUUAUCAAGUCUCCACCAUCCUCCCACUCAAUUCUUUCGAGAGAAACUUUUCCUCAAGAAAGGACUCAUUUCUAGAAGCAAUUACUUUUGCUUCCAGAUCUGAAAUAGGAGGUAUACCCAACUGUUUUUGGGUAUUCUAUGAAGAUGCAUUUAUCCGCUUUGGGUUUGAGCUUAUCAGCCUGAAACCUUUUCACAUAAGCAUCGCAGCCCCAAAUUUUAAGAAACGACAACUUAGGUUUCUAUAAACGGUGUCGUCUCAACGGAAUUGCGUGGUGCCCCUUUUAAAGUGAAUGUGGUUGUCUCUAAUGCCUAACCCAUAAACGAUAGUGGUAAUUUGAUAAGAAACAUCAUGGUGUGCACCAUAUCCAAUAGGGUGCAGUUGUGAUGUUCGGACACACCAUCACACUAUGGUGUUCCAGGCGGUAUUAAUUGUGAAACACUUUCCACAAUGUCUCAAUUGUGUGCCAAACUCGUAUCUCAGAUACUCAUCUCUAUGAUCAUAUCACAGACAUUUUAUCCUCUUGUUGCGACGAUCUUCAACUUCACUCUGAAAUUACUUGAACCUUUCAAUAAUUCAGACUAGUGUUUCAUCAAGUAAAUGUACUCAGCAUCUACUCAAAUCAUCUGUGAAGUAAGAACAUAACGAUAUCCACUGCAUGCCUCAGCACUCAUUGGACUGCAUACAUCAAAAUGUAUUAAUUCCAAUAAGUUGCUCUCUUGUUCCAUCUUACUGAAAACAAGGCCUUUCAGUCAUCUUGCCCAUGUGAUAUGAUUUGCAUGUCUCAAGUGAUUCAAAAUCAAGUGAGUCCAAACGAUCCAUCUGCAUGGAGUUUCUUCAUGCAUAUAUACCAAUAGACAUGGUUCGCAUGUCUCAUUCAUUUCAAAAACGAGUGAGUCCAAAGAUCCAUCUACAUGGAGCUUCUUCAUGCGUUCUAUACCAAUAUGACUCAAGUGGCAGUGCCAUAAGUAUGUGGUACUAUCAUUACUAUCUUAUAUCUUUUUGGCAUGAACAUGUGUAUCACUACGAUCGAGAUUCAUUUUAGGUGCAAGACCAUUGAAGGUAUUAUUCAAAUAAACAGAGUAACCAUUAUUCUCCUUAAAUGAAUAACCGUUUUGCGAUAAACAUAAUCCAAUCAUGUUCAACGCAAACACCAAAUCUCGAUAGUAGAGGGAGCAUGCGAUGCUUGAUCACAUCAACCUUGGAAACACUUCCAACGCACAUCGUCAUCUCACCUUUAGCUAGUCUCCGUUUAUUCUGCAGCUUUUGUUUCGAGUUACUAACACUUAGCAACCGAACUGGUAUCUAAUACCCUGGUGCUGCUAGGAGUACUAUUAAAGUACACAUUCAUAUAACGUAUAUCCAAUAUACUUCUGUCGACCUUGCCUGCCUUCUCAUCUACCAAGUAUCUAGGGUAGUACUGCUUCAGUGACCGUUCCUCUCGUUACAGAAGCACUUAGUCUCGGGUUUGGGUUCAACCUUGGGAUUCUUCACUAGAGCAGCAAACGACUUGUUGUUUCAUGAAGUAUCCCUUUUGCCCUUGCCCUUCUUAAACUAGUGGUUUUACUAACCAUCAACAAUUGAUGCUCCUUCUUGAUUUCUACUCUCGCGGUGUCAAACAUCGCGAAUAGCUCAAGGAUCAUCAUAACUAUCCUUGAUAUGUUAUAGUUCAUCACGAAGCUCUACUAGCUUGGUGGCAAUGACUAUGGGGAACUAUCACUAUCUCAUCUGGGAGAUUAACUCCCACUCGAUUCAAGCGAUUGUGGCACUCAGACAAUCUGAGCACAUGCUCAACGAUUGAGCUUUUCUCCCUUAGUUUGCAGGCUUAAGAAACUUGUCAGAGGUCUCAUACCUCUUGACGUGGGCACUAGUCUGAAAUCCCAAUUCCAGUCUUCGGAACAUCUCACAUGUUCUGCGACGUUUCAAGAACGUCUUUGGUGCCACAAUUCUAAACCGCACUGAACUAUCACGUAGUUAUCAAAACGUGUAUGUCAGAUGUUUCGUAACAUCUACAGACGACGCUGAGGUUCAGCACACCGAGCGGUGCAUUAAGGACAUAAGCCUUCUGUGUAGUAAUGAGGACAAUCCUCAGUUUACGGACCCAGUCCGCAUAAUUGCUACUACCAACUUUCAACUAAAUUUUCUCUAGGAACAUAUCUAAACCAGUAGAACUUAAAGCGCAAGACAUAAUUCGCAAAGACCUUUUGACUAUGUUCAUGAUAAUGAAGUUCGUCUGAUUAAUGAACUCCCACUCAGAUAGACAUCCCUCUAGUCAUCUAAGUGAUACAUGAUCCGAGUCAAACUAGGCCGUGUCCGAUCAUCACGUGAGACGGACUAGUCAUCAUCGGUGAACAUCUCCAUGUUGAUCGUAUCUGCUAUACGACUCAUGUUCGACUUUUCGGUCUCUUGUGUUCCGAGGCCAUGUCUGUACAUGCUAGGCUCGUCAAGUCAACCUAAGUGUAUUGCGUGUGUGCCGAGGCCAUGUCUGUACAUGCUAGGCUCGUCAACACCCGUUGUAUUCGAACGUAAGAAUCUAUCACACCCGAUCAUCACGUGGUGCUUCGAAACGACGAACCUUCGCAACGGUGCACAGUUAGGGUGAACACUUUCUUGAAAUUAUUAUAAGGGAUCAUCCUACUUGCUACCGUCGUUCUAAGCAAAUAAGAUGCAAAACAUGAUAAACAUCAUAUGCAAUCAAAUAGUGACAUGAUAUGGCCAAUAUCAUCAUGCUCCUUUGAUCUCCAUCUUCGGGGCACCAUGAUCAUCUUUGUCACCGGCAUGACACCAUGAUCUCCAUCAUCAUGAUCUCCAUCAUUGUGUCUUCAUGAAGUCGUCACGCCAACGAUUACUUCUACUUCUAUGGCUAACGCGCUUAGCUAUAAAGUAAAGUAAUUUACAUGGCGUUAUUCAAUGACACGCAGGUCAUACAAAAAAUAAAGACAACUCCUAUGGCUCCUGCCGGUUGUCAUACUCAUCGACAUGCAAGUCGUGAUCCCUAUUACAAGAAUAUGAUCAAUCUCAUACAUCACAUAUAUCAUUCAUCAUAUCUUCUGGCCAUAUCACAUCACAUAGCACUUGCUGCAAAAACAAGUUAGACGUCCUCUAAUUGUUGUUGCAAGUUUUUACGUGGUUUGUAUAGGUUUCUAGCAAGAACGUUUCUUACCUACGUAAGACCACAACGUGAUAUGCCAAUUUCUAUUUACCCUUCAUAAGGACCCUUUUCAUCGAAUCCGUUCCGACUAAAGUGGGAGAGACAGACACCCGCUAGCCACCUUAUGCAACUAGUGCAUGUCAGUCGGUGGAACCUGUCUCACGUAAGCGUACGUGUAAGGUCGGUCCGGGCCGCUUCAUCCCACAAUGCCGCCGAAACAAGAUAAGACUAGUAGCGGCAAGAAGAGUUGACAACAUCGACGCCCACAACUACUUUGUGUUCUACUCGUGCAUAGAAACUACGCAUAGACCUAGCUCAUGAUGCCACUGUUGGGGAACGUAGCAGAAAUUCAAAAUUUUCUACGCAUCACCAAGAUCAAUCUAUGGAGUAAUCUAGCAACGAGGGGAAGGGGAGUGAAUCUACAUACCCUUGUAGAUCGCGAUGCGGAAGCGUUGCAAGAACGCGGAUGAGGGAGUCGUACUCGUAGUGAUUCAGAUCGCGGUUGAUUCCGAUCUAAGCACCGAAAGAACGGUGCCUCCGCGUUCAACACACGUGCAGCCCGGUGACGUCUCCCACGCCUUGAUCCAGCAAGGAGAGAGGGAGAGGUUGGGGAAGACUCCAUCCAGCAGCAACACGACGGCAUGGUGGUGGUGGAGGAGCGUGGCAAUUCCGCAGGGCUUCGCCAAGCACCGCGGGAGAGGAGGAGGAAGAAGAGGGGUAGGGCAGCACCAAAAAGGAGACGUUCUCAUGUCUGUAUGGCAGCCCAAACCUCAAGUAUAUAUAGGGGGGAAGGGGGCUGCGCCCCCUUUAGGGUUUCCACCCCCAAGAGGAGGCGGCCAGCCCUAGAUCCCAUCAAGGGGGGCGGCCAAGGGGAGGAGAGGGGGAGGCGCCCCACUAGAUGGGCCCUAAGGCCCAUCUGGACCUAGGGUUUGCCCCCUCCCACUCUCCCAUGCGCCUGGGCCUUGGUGGGGGGGCGCACCAGCCCACCUGGGGCUGGUCCCCUCCCACACUUGGCCCACGCAGCCUUCUGGGGCUGGUGGCCCCACUUGGUGGACCCCCGGGACCCUCCCGGUGGUCCCGGUACAUUACCGAUUUCACCCGAAACUUUUCCGGUGACCAAAACAGGACUUCCCAUAUAUAAAUCUUUACCUCCGGACCAUUCCGGAACUCCUCGUGACGUCCGGGAUCUCAUCCGGGACUCCGAACAACAUUCGGUAACCACGUACAUACUUUCCCUAUAACCCUAGCGUCAUUGAACCUUAAGCGUGUAGACCCUACGGGUUCAGGAACCAUGCAGACAUGACCGAGACGUUCUCCGGUCAAUAACCAACAGCGGGAUCUGGAUACCCAUGUUGGCUCCCACAUGUUCCACGAUGAUCUCAUCGGAUGAACCACGAUGUCGGGGAUUCAAUCAAUCCCGUAUUCAAUUCCCUUUGUCUAACGGUAUGUUACUUGCCCGAGAUUCGAUCGUCGGUAUCCCUAUACCUUGUUCAAUCUCGUUACCGGCAAGUCUCUUUACUCGUUCCGUAACUCACAUCAUCCCGUGAUCAACUCCUUGGUCACAUUGUGCACAUAAUGAUGAUGUCCUACCGAGUGGGCCCAGAGAUACCUCUCCGUUUACACGGAGUGACAAAUCCCAGUCUCGAUUCGUGCCAACCCAACAGACACUUUCGGAGAUACCCGUAGUGCACCUUUAUAGCCACCCAGUUACGUUGUGACGUUUGGCACACCCAAAGCAUUCCUACGGUAUCCGGGAGUUGCACAAUCUCAUGGUCUAAGGAAGUGAUACUUGACAUUAGAAAAUCUCUGAGCAAACGAACUACACGAUCUUGUGCUAGGCUUAGGAUUGGGUCUUGUCCAUCACAUCAUUCUCCUAAUGAUGUGAUCCCGUUAUCAACGACAUCCAAUGUCCAUGGUCAGGAAACCGUAACCAUCUAUUGAUCAAAGAGCUAGUCAACUAGAGGCUUACUAGGGACAUGGUGUUGUCUAUGUAUCCACACAUGUAUCUGAGUUUCCUAUCAAUACAAUUCUAGCAUGGAUAAUAAACGAUUAUCAUGAACAAGGAAAUAUAAUAAUAACCUAUUUAUUAUUGCCUCUAGGGCAUAUUUCCAACAGUCUCCCACUUGCACUAGAGUCAAUAAUCUAGUUCACAUCACCAUGUGAUUAACACUGACAGGUCACAUCACCAUGUGACCAACACCCAAGAGUUUACUAGAGUCAACAAUCUAGUUCACAUCUCUAUGUGAUUAACACUCAAUGAGUUCUGGUUUGAUCAUGUUAUGCUUGUGAGAGAGGUUAUUAGUCAACGGGUCUGAACCUUUCAGAUUCGUGUGUGCUUUACGAAUAUCUAUGUCAUCUUUGUGGAUGCUACCACGCGCUAUUUGGAGCCAUUUCAAAUAAUUGCUCUACUAUACGAAUCCGGUUUACUACUCAGAGUCAUCCGGAUUAGUGUCAAAGUUCGCAUCGACGUAACCCUUUACGACGAACUCCUUUCCACCUCCAUAAUCGAGAAAAUUCCUUAAUCCACUAGGUACUAAGGAUAAGUUCGACCACUGUCAUGAGAUCCUUUCCCGGAUCACCAUUGUACCCUCUUGACCAACUCAUGGCAAGGCACACUACCAUGGUGAUUCCUCCGUUUCGCUGCCGUGUGUUUGAAACGGCGGAGGCGGCGACUUGAACAGCUUGAAACGACGCGGGUCGAUCCGGGGCAGGCGGCGGAGGCGGCUCACAGCAGGCGAGGUUCCGAGUCAUAGUUUUCCUUCCCUCAUUCAAAUUUUUUUUAAGGAAUAAUGUACAGCAGCGUGCGUCGGUUCAAUGUACAACAGCGGCGACAGUAGGGCCCAGAUCGGCUUACAGUGAAGGUGAGACCGCUCACGACGAGGGCAGUUUGACGGCUCAGUUAUGGCAGAGACCGGCAGCACGGGCCCGGCAGCGGAUUCGGCCACGGCGAUUUGUAAGCAGAAAUCCAAUCCGGUUCCGGAUCGUUGUCCUUUUUACCAAUCUAAUCUUCUUUCCUUGAUCUGAUCGCUAGAAUAGUACUUUUUUGUCUUUAUGCACAGAACGGAUUGAGCCUCUAAAUCCCUCAUGAUUAAGAAGUACUACUAUGUCUUUCUCCGUUCCGGCGCUCCUGCUAGGCUCAGAAAACAAUACUUUUUAGCUGACAUUGAUUAACUUCCAUGCACUAUCUGCUUUUCUUCCGAUAUUGGUCAGCUCCCAUGCACUGUUUGCUUUCAACAUUGACAUGACCAGGCUAGUUUCUUCCAAAGCAACAGUCAUUCUCUCAAUAAAUUCCUUAACAUAGGCAUUAUGAGCAUAUUUUUCAUAGCAAUAUUUAAGUACGUCAAAAUUUUCAGAUUUGUAGAGAAUAAUAUCAUACUUUUCAAUCAAAGAAGCAAAUGCAUAAGUGAUACAUCUCCAACGUAUCUAUAAUUUUUGAUUGUUCCAUGCUAUAUUAUAUUCUGUUUUGGACAUUAUUGGGCUUUAUUAUACACUUUUAUAUUAUUUUUGGGACUAACCUAUUAACCGGAGGCCCAGCCCAGAAUUGCUAUUUUUUGCUUAUUUCAGAGUUUCGCAAAAAAAGAAUAUCAAAUGGAGUCCAAACGGAAUGAAACCUUCGGGAACGUGCUUUUUGGAACGAACGUGAUCCAGAGGACUUGGACCUUACGUCAAGAAAGCUACCAGGAAGGCACUGUUGGGGAACGUAGUAAUUUCAAAAAUUCUCCUACGCACACGCAAGAUCAUGAUGAUGCAUAGCAACGAGAGGGGAGAGUGUUGUCCACGUACCCUCGUAGACCGAAAGCGGAAGCGUUAGCACAACGCGGUUGAUGUAGUCGUACAUCUUCACGAUCCGACCGAUCAAGUACCGAACGCACGGCACCUCCGAGUUCUGCACACGUUCAACUCGAUGAUGUCCCUCGAACUCCGAUCCAGCCGAGCUUUGAGGGAGAGUUCCGUCAGCACGACGGCGUGGUGACGAUGAUGAUGUUCCACCGACGCAGGGCUUCGCCUAAGCACCGCUACGAUAUAAUCGAGGUGGAUUAUGAUGGAGGGGGCAGCGCACACGGCUAAGAGAUCAAGAGAUCAAUUGUUGUGUCUAUGGGGUGCCCCCCUGCCCCCGUAUAUAAAGGAGCAAGGGGGGAGGCGGCCGGCCAAGGAGGAGGGCGCGCCAAGGGGGAGUCCUACUCCCACCGAGAGUAGGACUCCUCCUUUCCUUGUUGGAGUAGGAGAGAAGGAAAGAGGGGGAGAGGGAGAAGGAAAAGGGGGCUGCACCCCUUGUCCAAUUCGGACCAGAGGGGGGGGGUGCGCGCCUCCUUCCUUUUGGCCACUCUCCUCUAUUCCCGUAUGGCCCAAUAAGGCCCAAUACUUCUCCCCGGCGAAUUCCCGUAACUCUCCGGUACUCCGAUAAAUACCCGAAUCACUCGGAACCUUUCCGAAGUCCAAAUAUAGUCGUCCAAUAUAUCGAUCUUUACGUCUCGGCCAUUUCGAGACUCCUCGUCAUGUCCCUGAUCUUAUCCGGGACUCCAAACUCCUUCGGUACAUCAAAACACAUAAACUCAUAAUAUAACCGUCAUCUAACUUUAAGCGUGCGGAUUCUACGGGUUCGAGAACUAUGUAGACAUGACCGAGACACGUCUCCGGUCAAUAACCAAUAGCGGAACCUGGAUGCUCAUAUUGGCUCCCACAUAUUCUACGAAGAUCUUUAUCGGUCAGACCGCAUAACAACAUACGUUGUUCCCUUUGUCAUCGGUAUGUUACUUGCCCGAGAUUCGAUCGUCGGUAUCUCAAUGUCUAGUUCAAUCUCGUUACCGGCAAGUCUCUUUACUCGUUCCGUAAUACAUCAUCCCACAACUAACUCAUUAGUUGCAAUGCUUGCAAGGCUUAUAGUGAUGUGCAUUACCGAGUGGGCCCAGAGAUACCUCUCCGACAAUCGGAGUGACAAAUCCUAAUCUUGAAAUACGCCAACCCAACAAGUACCUUCGGAGACACCUGUAGAGCACCUUUAUAAUCACCCAGUUACGUUGUGACAUUUGAUAGCACACAAAGUGUUCCUCCUGUAAACGGGAGUUGCAUAAUCUCAUAGUCAUAGGAACAUGUAUAAGUCAUGAAGAAAGCAAUAGCAACAUACUAAACGAUCGAGUGCUAAGCUAACGGAAUGGGUCAAGUCAAUCACAUCAUUCUCCUAAUGAUGUGAUCCCGUUAAUCAAACGACAACUCAUGUCAAUGGCUAGGAAACAUAACCAUCUUUGAUCAACGAGCUAGUCAAGUAGAGGCAUACUAGUGACACUCUGUUUGUCUAUGUAUUCACACAUGUAUUAUGUUUCCGGUUAAUACAAUUCUAGCAUGAAUAAUAAACAUUUAUCAUGAUAUAAGGAAAUAAAUAAUAACUUUAUUAUUGCCUCUAGGGCAUAUUUCCUUCAGUCUCCCACUUGCACUAGAGUCAAUAAUCUAGUUCACAUCGCCAUGUGAUUUAACAUCAAUAAUUCACAUCACCAUGUGAUUAGCACCCAUAGUUCACAUUGUCAUGUGACCAACACUGUCGUGGAAUUGUCACGGCAGAUGUCCUUGGUGUCAGGACUUAGUCGCGAGGCCAACGCAUCUAUGUGGUAGCUUGAGAGGGGUUGAGUGGAAUCGAGAGAUGCAACACAAGACGAGGAUUUAGACAGCUUCGGGCCCCGGGAAACAUCAUCCGGUAACAACCCUACAUGUUGUUUGAGGCUAGGUCUCAUUAUGAUCACGGGAGAGUCGUCGGGAACCGGCUCUCGGUGUCUAGCCCUAGAGAUUGUUUCUUCUUGCCUGUCCCUCUUGGGGAGCCCUGCCCCUCCUUAUAUAAGUUAGAGGGGCGGGUUACAUGUGGAGUCCUAGUAGGACUAGGACUAGUCUAUCUUUUCUUACAAGUUGAAUACAAGUCCGGGUCUUGCUUCCUCGUAAAGGAAAUAUUCGUCAUCCCUUUCUUCUUAAGCCGGCCCACCAUCACAUGAACCGGCCUUCUGGGCCUUGGGCCUUGUCAUCCAUCUGACCCGCCGUUGGGGUUAUCAGGAAGUCACCAAAUACUCGCCGGGUCUCUGUGAACCGCCAAGUCCGGCUGGGUCAUACCGCGUGGUAUAUCCCCGACAAACACCCAAAGGGUUUACUAGAGUCAAUAAUCUAGUUCACAUCGCUAUGUGAUUAACACCCAAAGAGUACUAAGGUGUGAUCAUGUUUUGCUUGUGAGAUAAUUUUAGUCAACGGGUCUGUUACAUUCAGAUCCGUAAGUAUUUUGCAAAUUUCUAUGUCUACAAUGCUCUGCACAGAGCUACUCUAGCUAAUUGCUCCCACUUUCAAUAUGUAUCUAGAUCGAGACUUAGAUUCAUCCAGAUUUGUGUCAAAACUUGCAUCGACGUAACUCUUUACGAUGAACCUUUUUUCACCUCCAUAACCGAGAAAUAUUUCCUUAUUCCACUAAGGAUAAUUUAACGUUGUCCAGUGAUCUACUCCUAGAUCACUAUUGUACCCUCUUGCUAAAAUCAUGGUAGGUACACAAUAGGUCUGGUACACAGCAUAGCAUACUUUAUAGAACCUAUGACUGAGGCAUAGGAAAUGACUUUCAUUCUCUUUUCUAUUUUCUGUUGUGGUCGGGUUUUGAGUCUUUACUCAACUUUAUACUUUGCAAUACAGGCAAGAACUCUUUCUUUGACUGUUCCAUUUUGAACUACUUCAAAAUCUUGUCAAGGUAUGUACUCAUUGAAAAAACUUAUCAAGCGUCUUGAUUUAUCUCUAUAAAUCUUGAUGCUCAAUAUGUAAGCAGCUUCACCGAGGUCUUUCUUUGAAAAACUCCUUUCAAAUACUCCUUUAUGCUUUGCAGAAUAAUUCUACAUUAUUUCCGAUCAACAAUAUGUCAUUCACAUAUACUUAUCAAAAAUGUUGUAGUGCUCCCACUCACUUUCUUGUAAAUACAGGCUUCACCGCAAGUCUGUAUAAAACUAUAUGCUUUGAUCAACUUAUCAAAGCGUAUAUUCCAACUCCGAGAUGCUUGCACCAGUCCAUAGAUGGAUCGCUGGAGCUUGUAUAUUUUGUUAGCACCUUUAGGAUUGACAAAACCUUUUGGUUGCAUCAUAUACAACUCUUCUUUAAGAAAUCCAUUAAGGAAUGUAGUUUCGACAUCCAUUUGCCAGAUUUCAUAAAAUGUGGCAAUUUGCUAACAUGAUUCGGACAGACUUAAGCAUCGCUACGAGUGAGAAAAUCUCAUCGUAGUCAACACCUUGAACUUUGUCAAAAUCCUUUUUUCCGACAAGUCUAGCUUUGUAGAUAGUAACACUACUCUCAGCGUCCGUCUUCCUCUUGAAGAUCCAUUUAUUUUCUAUGGCUUGCCGAUCACCGGGCAAGUCAACCAAAGUCCACACUUUGUUCUCAUACAUGGAUCCCAUCUCAGAUUUCAUGGCCUCAAGCCAUUUUGCGGAAUCUGGGCUCAUCAUUGCUUCCUCAUAGUUCGUAGGUUCGUCAUGGUAAAGUAACAUGACCUCCAGAACAGGAUUACCGUACCACUCUGGUGCGGAUUUCAUUAUGGUUGACCUACGAGGUUCGGUAGUAACUUGAUCUGAAGUUACAUGAUCAUCAUCAUUAGCUUCCUCACUAAUUGGUGUAGGAAUCACAGGAACAAAUUUCUGUGAUGAACUACUUUCCAAUAAGGGAGCAGGUACAGUUACCUCAUCAAGUUCUAUUUUCCUCCCACUCACUUCUUUCGAGAGAAACUCCUUCUCUAGAAAGGAUCCAUUCUUAGCAACGAAUGUCUUGCCCUUCGGAUCUGUGAUAGAAAGUGUACCCAACUGUCUCCUUUGGGUAUCCUAUGAAGACACAUUUCUCCGAUUUGGGUUUGAGCUUAUCAGGAUGAAACUUUUUCACAUAAGCAUCGUAGCCCCAACUUUAAGAAACGACAACUUUGGUUUCUUGCCAAACCACAGUUCAUAAUGUGUCGUCACAACGGACUUAGACGGUGCCCUUUUUAACGUGGAUGCAGCUGUCUUUAAUGCAUAACCCCAAAAUGAUAGUGGUAAAUCGGGAAGAGACAUCAUAGAUUGCACCAUAUCUAAUAAAGUACGGUUACGAUGUUCAGACACACCAUUACACUGUGGUGUUCCAGGUGACGUGAGCAGUGAAACUAUUUCACAUUGUUUUAACUGAAGACCAAACUCGUAACUCAAAUACUCUUCUCCACGAUCAGAUCGUAGAAACUUUAUUUUCUUGUUACGAUGAUUUUCCACUUCACUCUGAAAUUAUAUGAACUUUUCAAAUGUUUCAGACUUCUGUUUCAUUAAGUAGAUAUACCCAUAUCUGCUCAAAUCAUCUGUGAAGGUCAGAAAAUAAUGAUACCCGCUACGAGCCUCAAUAUUCAUCGGACCACAUACAUCAGUAUGUAUGAUUUCCAACAAAUCUGUUGCUUGCUCCAUUGUUCCGGAGAACGGCGUUUUAGUCAUCUUGCCCAAGAGGCAUGGUUCUCAAGCAUCAAGUGAUUCCAAAAUCCCAUCAGCAUGGAGUUUCUUCAUGCGCUUUACACCAAUAUGACCUAAAUGGUUGUGCCACAAAUAAGUUGCACUAUCAUUAUUAACUUUGCAUCUUUUGGCUUCAAUAUUUAUGAAUAUGUGUAUCACUACGAUCGAGAUCCAACAAACCAUUUUCAUUGGGUGUAUGACCAUAGAAGGUUUUAUUCAUGUAAAUAGAACAACAAUUAUUCUCUAACUUAAAUGAAUAACCGUAUUGCAAUAAACAUGAUCAAAUCAUAUUCAUGCUCAACGCAAACACCAAAUAACACUUAUUUAGGUUCAACACUAAUCCCGAAAGUAUAGGGAGUGUGCGAUGAUGAUCAUAUCAAUCUUGGAACCACUUCCAAUACACAUCGUCACUUCAUCCUUAACUAGUUUCUGUUCAUUAUGCAACUCCCGUUUCGAGUUACUACUCUUUAGCAACUGAACCAGUAUCAAAUAUCGAGGGAUUGCUACGAACACUAGUAAAAUACACAUCAAUAAUCUGUAUAUCAAAUAUACCUUUGUUCACUUUGCCAUCCUUCUUAUCCGCCAAAUACUUGGGGCAGUUCCGCUUCCAGUGACCAGUCCCUUUGCAGUAGAAGCACUUAAUCUCAGGCUUAGGUACAGACUUGGGCUUCUUCACUUGAGUAGCAACUUGCUUGCCGUUCUUCUUGAAGUUCCCCUUCUAUCCCUCUGCCCUUUUCUUGAAACUAGUGGUCUUGUUAACCAUCUACACUUGAUGCUCUUUCUUGAUUUCUACCUUUGUCGAUUUCAGCAUCGCGAAGAGCUCGGGAAUUACUUUCGUCAUCCUUACAUACUAUAGUUCAUCACGAAGUUCUACUAACUUGGUGAUGGUGACUAGAGAAUUCUGUCAAUCACUAUUUUAUCUGGAAGAUUAACUCCCACUUGAUUCAAGCGAUUGUAGUACCCAGACAAUCUGAGCACAUGCUCACUGCUUGAGCUAUUCUCCUCCAUCUUUUAGCUAUAGAACUUGUUGGAGACUUCAUAUCUCUCAACUCGGGUAUUUGCUUGAAAUAUUAACUUCAACUCCUGGAACAUCUCAUAUGGUCCAUGACGUUCAAAACGUCUUUGAAGUCCCGAUUCUAAGUCGUUAAGCAUGGUGCACUAAAGUAUCAAGUAGUCAUCAUAUUGAGCUAGCCAAACGUUCAUAACAUCUGCAUGUGCCUGCAAUAGGUCUGUCACCUAGCGGUGCAUCAAGGACAUAAUUCUUCUCUGCAGCAAUGAGGAUAAUCCUCAGAUCACGGAUCCAAUCCGCAUCUUUGCUACUAACAUCUUUCAACAUAAUUUUUCUCUAGGAACAUAUCAAAAAUAAACACAGGGAAGCAACAACGCGAGCUAUUGAUCUACAACAUAAUUUGCAAAAAUACUAUUAGGACUAAGUUCAUGAUAAAUUUAAGUUCAAUUAAUCAUAUUACUUAAGAACUCCCACUUAGAUAGACAUCCCUCUAAUCCUCUAAGUGAUCACGUGAUCCAUAUCAACUAAACCAUGUCCGAUCAUCACGUGAGAUGGAGUAGUUUCAACGGUGAACAUCACUAUGUUGAUCAUAUCUACUAUAUGAUUCACGCUCGACCUUUCGGUCUCCGUGUUCCGAGGCCAUAUAUGUUAUAUGCUAGGCUCGUCAAGCUUAACCUGAGUAUUCCGCGUGUGCAACUGUUUUGCACCCGUUGUAUUUGAACGUAGAGCCUAUCACACCCGAUCAUCACGUGGUGUCUAAGCACGAAGAACUUUCGCAACGGUGCAUACUCAGGGAGAACACUUAUACUUUGAUAAUUUAGUGAGGGAUCAUCUUAUAAUGCUACCGUCAAUCAAAGCAAGAUAAGAUGCAUAAAAGAUAAACAUCACAUGCAAUCAAUAUAAGUGAUAUGAUAUGGCCAUCAUCAUCUUGUGCUUGUGAUCUCCAUCUCCGAAGCACCGUCAUGAUCACCAUCGUCACCGGCGCGGCACCUUGAUCUCCAUCGUAGUAUCGUUGUCGUCUCGCCAACUAUUGCUUCUACGACUAUCGCUACCGCUUAGUGAUAAAGUAAAGCAAUUACAUGGCGAUUGCAUUGCAUACAAUAAAGCGACAACCAUAUGGCUCCUGCCAGUUGCCGAUAACUCGGUUAAAAAACAUGAUCAUCUCAUACAAUAAAAUUUAGCAUCAUGUCUUGACCAUAUCACAUCACAACAUGCCCUGCAAAAACAAGUUAGACGUCCUCUACUUUAUUGUUGCAAGUUUUACGUGGCUGCUACUGGGCUUAGCAAGAACCGUUCUUAUCUACGCAUCAAAACCACAACGAUAAUUUGUCAAGUUUGUGCUGUUUUAACCUUCGCAAGGACCGGGCGUAGCCACACUCGGUUCAACUAAAGUUGGAGAAACUGACACCCGCCAGCCACCUGUGUGCAAAGCACGUCGGUAGAACCAGUCUCGCGUAAGCGUACGCGUAAUGUCGGUCCGGGCCGCUUCAUCCAACAAUACCGCCGAACCAAAGUAUGACAUGCUGGUAAGCAGUAUGACUUAUAUCGCCCACAACUCACUUGUUUUCUACUCGUGCAUAUAACAUCAACACAUAAAACCAGGCUCGGAUGCCACUGUUGGGGGACGUAGUAAUUUCAAAAAAAAUCCUACGCACACGCAAGAUCAUGAUGAUGCAUAGCAACGAGAGGGGAGAGUGUUGUCCACGUACCCUCGUAGACCAAAAGCGGAAGCGUUAGCACAACGCGGUUGAUGUAGUCGUACGUCUUCACGAUCCGACCGAUCAAGUACCGAACGCACGACACCUCCGAGUUCUGCACACGUUCAACUCGAUGAUGUCCCUCGAACUCCAAUCCAGCCGAGCUUUGAGGGAGAGUUCCGUCAGCACGACGGCGUGGUGACGAUGAUGAUGUUCUACCGAUGCAGGGCUUCGCCUAAGCACCGCUACGAUAUAAUCGAGGUGGAUUAUGGUGGAGGGGGGCACCGCACACGGCUAAGAGAUCAAGAGAUCAAUUGUUGUGUCUAUGGGGUGCCCCCCUGCCCCCGUAUAUAAAGGAGCAAGGGGGGAGGCGGCCGGCCAAGGAGGAGGGCGCACCAAGGGGGGAGUCCUACUCCCACCGAGAGUAGGACUCCUCCUUUCCUUGUUGGAGUAGGAGAGAAGGAAAGAGGGGGAGAGGGAGAAGGAAAAGGGGGCUGCACCCCUUGUCCAAUUCGGACCAGAGGGGGGGUGCGCGCCUCCUUCCUUUUGGCCACUCUCCUCUAUUCCCGUAUGGCCCAAUAAGGCCCAAUACUUCUCCCCGGCGAAUUCCCGUAACUCUCCGGUACUCCGAUAAAUACCCGAAUCACUCGGAACAUUUCGAGACUCCUCGUCAUGUCCCUGAUCUCAUCCGGGACUCCGAACUCCUUCGGUACAUCAAAACACAUAAACUCAUAAUAUAACCGUCAUCUAACUUCAAGCGUGCGGACCCUACGGGUUCGAGAACUAUGUAGACAUGACCGAGACACGUCUCCGGUCAAUAACCAAUAGCGGAACCUGGAUGCUCAUAUUGGCUCCCACAUAUUCUACGAAGAUCUUUAUCGGUCAGACCGCAUAACAACAUACGUUGUUCCCUUUGUCAUCGGUAUGUUACUUGCCCGAGAUUCAAUCGUCGGUAUCUCAAUGCCUAGUUCAAUCUCGUUACCGGCAAGUCUCUUUACUCGUUCUGUAAUACAUCAUCCCACAACUAACUCAUUAGUUGCAAUGCUUGCAAGGCUUAAGUGAUGUGCAUUACCGAGUGGGCCCAGAGAUACCUCUCCGACAAUCGGAGUGACAAAUCCUAAUCUCGAAAUACGCCAACCCAACAAGUACCUUCGGAGACACCUGUAGAGCACCUUUAUAAUCACCCAGUUACGUUGUGACGUUUGGUAGCACACAAAGUGUUCCUCCGGUAAACAGGAGUUGCAUAAUCUCAUAGUCAUAGGAACAUGUAUAAGUCAUGAAGAAAGCAAUAGCAACAUACUAAACGAUCGAGUGCUAAGCUAACGGAAUGGGUCAAGUCAAUCACAUCAUUCUCCUAAUGAUGUGAUCCCGUUAAUCAAAUGACAACUCAUGUCAAUGGCAAGGAAACAUAACCAUCUUUGAUCAACGAGCUAGUCAAUUAGAGGCAUACUAGUGACACUCUGUUUGUCUAUGUAUUCACACAUGUAUUAUGUUUCCGGUUAAUACAAUUCUAGCAUGAAUAAUAAACAUUUAUCAUGAUAUAAGGAAAUAAAUAAUAACUUUAUNNNNNNNNNNNNNNNNNNNNNNNNNNNNNNNNNNNNNNNNNNNNNNNNNNNNNNNNNNNNNNNNNNNNNNNNNNNNNNNNNNNNNNNNNNNNNNNNNNNNNNNNNNNNNNNNNNNNNNNNNNNNNNNNNNNNNNNNNNNNNNNNNNNNNNNNNNNNNNNNNNNNNNNNNNNNNNNNNNNNNNNNNNNNNNNNNNNNNNNNNNNNNNNNNNNNNNNNNNNNNNNNNNNNNNNNNNNGUGCGAGGGACUCGUGCGUGGCCUCCUACUGGAUUGAUACCUUGGUUCUCAAAAACUGAGGGAAAUACUUACGCUGCUUUACUGCAUCACCCUUUCCUCUUCAAGGGAAAACCAACGCAGUGCUCAAGAGGUAGCAAGAAGGAUUUCUGGCGCCGUUGCUGGGGAGUCUGCGCAAAAGUCAACAUACCAAGUACCCAUCACAAACCCUUAUCUCCCGCAUUACAUUAUUUGCCAUUUGCCUCUCGUUUUCCUCUCCCCCACUUGACCCUUGCCGUUUUAUUCACCCUCUCUUUUCCGUUCGCCUCUUUUUCGCGUGCUUCUUGUUUGCUCGUGUGUUGGAUUGCUUGCUUGUCGUUAUGGCUAGUCCCCUAUCUUCUCCGUUGUCUCCCAAAAAUGAAGUUCUUAAUUUUAAGCAAAAGGAAGGAGAAAAUCUAAAAGACGCUUGGUAUAGAAUUUGCAAUGCUCAAAAUAGAUCUACCAGGAAGCAAUCUACUUCUGUUCUUCUCCGCAAUUUUUAUGUAGGCGCUACUCCUUGGUACAUAUAUAUCCUUGAUACCAUUACCGGAGGGAAUUUCUUGGGUAGCCAUACUUUUGAUUCUUAUAAUGCUAUGAUAUAUUUGUUUGGCUCACCCCCUCUUUUGGUUAAUGGAACUAUGUUUUUGGAGCAUGUAAUGCAAAGACUUGAAAUUAUUGAAAUAAAGUUGCUACCGUAGAGUUAAUUGAAAAUUUGGAUAAAAAUAUCCACAACCAAAUUACCCAAUAUGGAUCUAAAGUAGGAGUCACUUUGAAAAAUAUUAAGGAGAAGGAACCCAUACUUAAUGAAAGAAUAAAUCAGGAUUCCACUAGAAUUGAUAAACUUGAGGGUAUCAUUACCAACUUGGGAACCGCUUUUUUCUUCCGUAAAGAAUACUCCAAGUCCUCCAACUAAAAUUGCCAAGCUUAUGUAUGUUCCCAAAAAUAAGGGUGAAUCCUCUAGCAAGGAAACUGCGGAUCUCAAAUCUAUAAGUAUUCAUCCCAAUCUUUUUGCUAUCAUUAAGGAACCAUUUGCUACAAAUGAAUUUUUCGAUUUUGUGCCUAGAAGUUUGAUAAUUAAUAAAAAGAAAGAAACUCCUAAGGGUGAUAGAUGUCUCAUUAAAGAAUUUCCAACUAAAGAUGGCAAUACCUAGAUCUAUCCUUGUUAUUAUGCCUAGUUAGGGGCGUUAAACGAUACCGCUUGUUGGGAGGCAACCCAAUUUUAUUUUUUUAGUUUUUUGCUUUUUGCUUCUGUUUAGGAAUAAAUAUUUGAUCUAGCCUAUGGUUAGAUGUGUUUUUAUGUUUUAAUUAGUGUUUGUGCCAAGUUUAACCUAUAGGAUCUUCUUGGAUGAUAGUUAUUUGAUCUUGCUGAAAAUUCCAGAAACUUUAUGUUCACGAAAAUAAUUGUUAAAAAUCACCAGAACGUGAUAAAAUAUUGAUUCCAAUUGCUGCUGAUCAAUAAACAAUUUUUCUAGGUCUUCCUAUUUUGGCUGAAUUUGUGGAGUUCCAUAAGUUUGCGUUAGUUACAGAUUACUAGAGACUGUUCUGUUUUUGACAGAUUCUGUUUUUCGUGUGUUGUUUGCUUAUUUUGGUAAAUCUAUGGCUAGUAAAAUAGUUUAUAAACCAUAGAGAAGUUGGAAUACAGUAGGUUUAACACCCAUAUAAAUAAAGAAUGAAUUCAUUACAGUACCUUGAAGUGGUGUUUUGUUUUCUUUCGCUAACGGAGCUCACGAGAUUUUCUGUUAAGUUUUGUGUUGUGAAGUUUUCAAGUUUUGGGUAAAAGAUUUGAUGGAUUAUGGAACAAGGAGUGGAAAGAGCCUAAGCUUGGGUAUGCCCAUGGAACCCCAAGAUAAUCUAAGGACACCUAAAAGCCAAAGCUUGGGGAUGCCCCGGAAGGCAUCCCCUCUUUUCGUUUACUUCCAUCGGUAACUUUACUUGGAGCUAUAUUUUUAUUCACCACAUGAUAUGUGUUUUGCUUGGAGCGUCUUGUAUUAUCUGAGUAUUUAUCUGUUAGUUUGCCACAAUCAUCCUUGUUGUACACACCUUUUGAGAGGGACACACAUGAUUCGGAAAUUAUUAGAAUACUCUAUGUGCUUCACUUAUAUCUUUUGAGUUAUAUAGUUUUUGCUCUAGUGCUUCACUUAUAUCUUUUAGAGCACGAUGGUGGAUUUGUUUUAUACAAACUAUUGUUCUCUCAUGCUUCACUUAGAUUAUUUUGAGAGUCCUACAAAACAGCGUGGUAAUUUGCUUUAAUUGUGAUAGGCAUUCAAGAUUAGUAAAAAAAAUCUUAUGAGUGUGUUGAAUACUAUGAGAAGUUUGAUACUAGAUAAUUGUUUUGAGAUAUGAAGAUGGUGAUAUUACAGUCAUGCUAGUUGAGUAGUCUUGAAUUUGAGAAAUACUUGUGUUAAAGUUUGUGAUUCCCGUAGCAUGCACGUAUGGUGAACCGUUAUGUGAUGAAGUCGGAGCAUGAUUUAUUUAUUAUUGUCUUCCUUAUGAGUGGCGGUCGGGGACGAGCGAUGGUCUUUUCCUACCAAUCUAUCCCCCUAGGAGCAUGCGCGUAAUACUUUGCUUUGAUAACUUGUAGAUUUUUGCAAUAAGUAUAUGAGUUCUUUAUGACUAAUGUUGAGUCCAUGAAUUAUACGCACUUUCUUCCUUCCACCAUUGCUAGCCUCUCUAAUACCGCGCACUUUUCGCCGGUAUCAUACACCCACCAUAUAGCUUCCUCAAAACAGCCACCAUACCUACCUAUCAUGGCAUUUCCAUAGCCAUUCCGAGAUAUAUUGCCAUGCAAUUUACCACCGUUCCGUUUAUUAUGACAUGCUCCAUCAUUGUCAUAUUGCUUUGCAUGAUCAUGUAGUUGACAUUGUAUUUGUGGCAAAGCCACCGUUUAUAAUUCUUUCAUACAUGUCACUCUUGAAUCAUUGCAUAUCCCGGUACACCACCGGAGGCAUUCACAUAGAGUCAUAUUUUGUUCUAAGUAUUGAGUUGUAAUUGUUGAGUUGUAAGUAAAUAAAAGUGUGAUGAUCAUCAUUUUUAGAGCAUUGUCCCAACUGAGGAAAGGAUGAUGGAGACUAUGAUUCCCCCACAAGUCGGGAUGAGACUCCGGACUAAAAAAAAGAGGCCAUAAAAAAAUAGAAAAGGCCCAAAUAACAAAAUAUAUAUAAAAAAAUAAUGAGAUAAAAAGAGAGAAGGGACAAUGUUACUAUCCUUUUACCACACUUGUGCUUCAAAGUAGCACCAUGAUCUUCAUGAUAGAGAGUCUCCUAUGAUAUCACUUUCAUAUACUAGUGGGAGUUUUUCAUUAUAGAACUUGGCUUGUAUAUUUCAAUGAUGGGCUUCCUCAAAAUGCCCUAGGUCUUCGUGAGCAAGCGAGUUCGAUGCACACCCACUUAGUUCCUUUUGUUGAGCUUUCAUAUACUUAUAGCUCGAGUGCAUCCGUUGCAUGGCAACCCCUACUCACUCACAUUGAUAUCUAUUAAUGGACAUCUCCAUAGCCCGUUGAUACGCCUAGUUGAUGUGAGACUAUCUUCUCCUUUUUGUCUUCUCCACAACCACCAUUCUAUUCCACAUAUAGUGCUAUGUCCAUGGCUCACGCUCAUGUAUUGCGUGAAGAUUGAAAAAGUUUGAGAACACCAAAAGUAUGAAACAAUUGCUUGGCUUGUCAUCGGGGUUGUGCAUGAUUUAAAUACUUUGUGUGGUGAAGAUAGAGCAUAGCCAGACUAUAUGAUUUUGUAGGGAUAACUUUCUUUGGCCAUGUUAUUUUGAGAAGACAUAAUUGCUUAGUUAGUAUGCUUGAAGUAUUACUAUUUUUAUGUCAAUAUUAAACUUUUGUCUUGAAUCUUUCGGAUCUGAAUAUUCAUACCACAAUUAAAAGAAUUACAUUGAAAUUAUGCCAAGUAUCAUUCCACAUCAAAAAUUCUGUUUUUAUCAUUUACCUACUCGAGGACGAGCAGGAAUUAAGCUUGCGGAUGCUUGAUACGUCUCCAACGUAUCUAUAAAUUUUUAUUGUUCCAUGCUAUAUUAUAUUCUGUUUUGGACAUUAUUGGGCUUUAUUAUACACUUUUAUAUAAUUUUUGGGACUAACCUAUUAACCGGAGGCCCAACCCAGAAUUGUUGUUUUUGCCUAUUUCAGAGUUUCGCAGAAAAAGAAUAUCAAACGGAGUCCAAACGGAAUGAAACCUUUGGAAACAUGAUUUUUGGAAUGAACGUGAUCCAGAGGACUUGGACCCUACGUCAAGAAAGCUACCAGGAAGGCACGAGGUAGGGGCGCGCCUACCCCCCCCCCCCCNNNNNNNNNNNNNNNNNNNNNNNNNNNNNNNNNNNNNNNNNNNNNNNNNNNNNNNNNNNNNNNNNNNNNNNNNNNNNNNNNNNNNNNNNNNNNNNNNNNNNNNNNNNNNNNNNNNNNNNNNNNNNNNNNNNNNNNNNNNNNNNNNNNNNNNNNNNNNNNNNNNNNNNNNNNNNNNNNNNNNNNNNNNNNNNNNNNNNNNNNNNNNNNNNNNNNNNNNNNNNNNNNNNCCCCCCAGGCGCGCCCUCCACCCUCAUGGGGCCCACGUUGCUCCACCGACGUACUUCUUCCUCCUAUAUAUACCUACGUACCCCCAAACUACCAGAUACGGAGCUAAAAACCUAAUUCCACCGCCGCAACCUUCUGUACCCAUGAGAUCCCAUCUUGGGGCCUUUUCCGGAGCUCCGCCGGAGGGGGCAUCGAUCACGGAGGGCUUCUACAUCAACACCAUAGCCCCUCCGAUGAUGUGUGAGUAGUUUACCUUAGACCUUCGGGUCCAUAGUUAUUAGCUAGAUGGCUUCUUCUCUCUCUUUGGAUCUCAAUACAAAGUUCUCCACCAUUCUUGUGGAGAUCUAUUCGAUGUAAUCUUAUUUUGCGGUGUGUUUGUUGAGACCGAUGAAUUGUGGGUUUAUGAUCAAGUUUAUCUAUGAACAAUAUUUGUGUUGGGGAACGUAGUAAUUUGAAAAAAAAAUCCAAUGCACACACAGGAUCAUGGUGAUGCAUAGCAAUGAGAGGGGAGAGUGUUGUCCACGUACCCUUGUAGACCGAAAGCGGAAGCGUUAGCACAACGCGGUUGAUGUAGUUGUACGUCUUCACGAUCCGACCGAUCAAGUACCGAACGCACGACACCUCCGAGUUCAGCACACGUUCAGCCCGAUGACGUCCUCGAACUCCGGUCCAGCCGAGUGUUGAGGGAGAGUUUCUUCAGCACGACGGCAUGGUGACGAUGAUGAUGUUCUACCGACGCAGGGCUUCGCCUAAGCACCACUACAGUGUUAUCGAGGUGGACUAUGGUGGAGGGGGGCACCGCACACGACUAAAAGAUCAAACGAUCAAUUGUUUUCUCUAGGGUGCCCCCUGCCCCCGUAUAUAAAGGAGCAAGGGGGGGAGGUGCGGCCGACCAGGAGGGGCGCGCCAGGUGGAGUCCUACUCCCACCGGGAGUAGGACUCCCUCCCUAUUCCUAGUUGGAUUAGGAGUGGAGGGGAAAGAGGAGGGAGAGAGGAAGGAAAGGGGGGGGCGCCGCCCCCCUCUCCUUGUCCUAUUCGGACUAGGGGGGAGGGACGCGCGGCCCUGCCCUGGCCGCCUCUCCUCUUCUCCACAAAGGCCCACUAUGGCCCAUUAAGCCCCCGGGGGGUUCCGGUAACCCCUGGGUACUCCGGUAAAAUCCCGAUUUCACCCGGAACACUUCCGAUAUCCAAAUAUAGGUUCCCAAUAUAUCAAUCUUCAUGUCUCGACCAUUUCGAGACUCCUCGUCAUGUCCGUGAUCACAUCCGGGACUCCGAACAACCUUCGGUACAUCAAAACAUAUAAACUCAUAAUAUAACUAUCACCGAAACGUUAAGCGUGCGGACCCUACGGGUUCGAGAACAAUGUAGACAUGACCGAGACACGUCUCUGGUCAAUAACCAAUAGCGGAACCUGGAUGCUCAUAUUGGCUCCCACAUAUUCUACGAAGAUCUUUAUCGGUCAGACCGCAUAACAACAUACGUUGUUCCCUUUGUCAUCGGUAUGUUACUUGCCCGAGAUUCGAUCGUCGGUAUCUCAAUACCUAGUUCAAUCUCGUUACCGGCAAGUCUCUUUACUCGUUCCGUAAUACAUCAUCCCGCAAAUAACUCAUUAGUUACAAUGCUUGCAAGGCUUAUAGUGAUGUGCAUUAUCGAGUGGGCCCAGAGAUACCUCUCCGACAAUCGGAGUGACAAAUCCUAAUCUCGAAAUACGCCAACCCAACAAGUACCUUCGGAGACACCUGUAGAGCACCUUUAUAAUCACCCAGUUACGUUGUGACGUUUGGUAGCACACAAAGUGUUCCUCCGGUAAACGGGAGUUGCAUAAUCUCAUAGUCAUAGGAACAUGUAUAAGUCAUGAAGAAAGGAAUAACAACAUACUAAACGAUCGAGUGCUAGGCUGACGGAAUGGGUCAAGUCAAUCACAUCAUUCUCCUAAUGAUUUGAUCCCAUUAAUCAAAUGACAACUCUUUGUCUAUGGCUAGGAAACAUAACCAUCUUUGAUCAACGAGCUAGUCAAGUAGAGGCAUACUGGUGACACUCUGUUUGUCUAUGUAUUCACACAUGUAUCAUGUUUCCGGUUAAUACAAUUCUAGCAUGAAUAAUAAACAUUUAUCAUGAAAUAAGGAAAUAAAUAAUAACUUUAUUAUUGCCUCUAGGGCAUAUUUCCUUCAAUUUGAAUCUUCUCUGAAUUCUUUUAUGUAUGAUUGGUUAUCUUUGCAAGUCUCUUCGAAUUAUCAGUUUGGUUUGGCCUACUAGAUUGAUCUUUCUUGCAAUAGGAGAAGUGCUUAGCUUUGGGUUCAAUCUUGCGGUGUCCUUUCCAAGUGACAGUAGGGGCAGCAAGGCAUGUAUUGUAUUGUUGCCAUCGAGGAUAACAAAGAUGGGGUUUAUAUCAUAUUGCAUGAGUUUAUCCCUCUACAUCAUGUCAUCUUACUUAAAGCGUUACUUUGUUCUUUUGAACUUAAUACUCUAGAUGCAUGCUGGAUAGCGAUCGAUGUGUGGAGUAAUAGUAGUAGAUGCAGGCAGGAGUCGGUCUACUUGUCGCGGACGCGAUGCCGAUAUACAUGAUCAUACCUAGAUAUUCUCAUAACUAUGCUCAAUUCUGUCAAUUGCUCAACAGUAAUUUGUUUACCCACCGUAAUACGUAUGCUCUCGAGAGAAGCCACUAGUGAAACCUAUGGCCCCCGGGUCUAUUUUCCAUCAUAUUAAUUUCCCGUCAACAAGCUAUUUCUGGCACCGUUUUUAUUUUGCUUUCUUUACUUUGCAUCUUUAUCAUAAAAAUACCAAAAAUAUUAUCUUAUCAUAUCUAUCAGAUCUCACUUUCGUAAGUGGCCGUGAAGGGAUUGACAACCCCUUUAUUGCGUUGGUUGCAAGGAUUUUAUUUGUUUGUGUAGGUGCGAGGGACUCAUGCGUGGCCACCUACUGGAUUGAUACCUUGGUUCUCAUAAACUGAGGGAAAUACUUACGCUGCUUUACUGCAUCACCCUUUCCUCUUUAAGGGAAAACCAAUGCAGUGCUCAAGAGGUAGCAAUAAGCACCCUUAAAAGCAACAAAUUCUUUAGUUUGUUCGAUAUCAUAGUAGCUAUAAACACCCUUUUCAUAAGAAGAUAAGAUUUCAUUAUCUAUAAACUGACAUAGGUACGGAAGGUGUUUUUUUAGGGUUCUUAGAGCAACAAGUAAAAUCACAAAGAUUCGAAGCAUAACAUAGCAAACAAUUUAUUUGAUUCCAUAAGACUCUCCCUUUUUGAGACAAACGGUGAUGCACAAAAUGAGCAUGCUCAUCUAAAGAUUUUUCCUCAACUAAACUAGUUGGGGUUUUAGCACGAGCACAUAUGGAUCGAAGAUGAUCCAAGUAGAAAACUUUAAGUGGAUCCAAUAAACCUUUUUUGUUUUCUGAUUUUCAAUAAAAAAUACACAAUUAUACCAAGAGAACGAGCAAACAAACCAAGUAAGACAUAGAGACAAACGAAAAGAUGAACGAAAAGAAGGCAAAUAUUUUUAGGUUUUUCUGAAGACAUUUUAGAAGUGGGGGAGAGGAAAACGAGAGGCAAAUGACAAAUAAUGUAAUGCGAUAGAUGAGAGUUUAUGAUAGGUACUUGGUAGGCUUGAUGUAGAACCUCCCCGACAACGGCGCCAGAAAUUCUUCCUGCUACUUCUUGAGAUUGCUUUGGUUUUUCUCUUGAAGAGGAAAGGGUGAUGCAGCAAAGUAGGGAUAAGUAUUUCCCUUAGUUUCAAAACCAAGGUAUCAAUCUAGUAGGAGGUACACGCAAGUCUCCAAUCUAUGCACCUGCACAAACAAUCAAACACUUGCACCCAACGCAAAAAGGGGUUGUCAAUCCCUUCAUGGUCGCUUGCAAGGAUGAGAUCUAAUAGAGAUAGAUAUAAAAGAUAACUAAAAUGUAAAACAAAGUAGAAACAAAUAAAUUGCAGCAAGGUAUUUCUGGGUCUUUUGGUUUAUAGAACUGAAAAUAUAUGAUAAAAGAUAGACCCGGGGGCCAUAGGUUUCACUAGAGGCUUCUCUCUUGAAAGAAAGCAUACGGUGGGUGAACAAAUUACUGUCGAGCAAUUGAUAGAAAAGCGCAAAGUUAUGAUGAUAUCUAAGGCAAUGAUUAUGAAUAUAGGCAUCACGUCCGUGUCAAGUAGACCGAAACAAUUUUGCAUCUACUACUAUUACUCCACACAUCGACCGCUAUCCAGCAUGCAUCUAGAGUAUUAACUUCAUAAGAAUGGAGUAACGCCUUAAGUCAGAUGACAUGAUGUAGAGGGAUAAACUCAAGCAAUACGAUGAAAACCCCAUCUUUCUAUCCUUGAUGGCAACAAUACAGUACGCCUUGCUACCCCUACUUUGUCACUGGAUGAGGACACCGCAAGAUUGAACCCCAAACUAAGCAUCUCUCCCGUUGCAAGAAGAACCAAUCUAGUUGGCCAAACCAAACCGAUAAUUCGAAGAGAAAUACAAAGAUAUCAAAUUAUGCAUAUAAGAAUUCAGAAAAGAGUCAAAUAAUAUUCAUAGAUAAUCUAAUCAUAAAUCCACAAUUCAUCGAAUCUCGACAAACACACCGCAAAAGAAUAUUACAUCGGAUAGAUCUCCAAGAACAUCGAGGGGAGCAUUGUAUUGAAGAUCACAGAGAGAGAACAAGCCAUCUGGCUACUAGCUAUGGACCCGUAGGUCUGUGGUAAACUACUCACGCUUCAUAGGAAGGGCAAUAGGGUUGAUGUAGAAGCCCUCCGUGAUCGAAUCCCCCUCCGGUAGGGUGCCAGAAAAGGCCCCAAGAUGGGAUCUCACGGGAAUAGAAGGUUACGGCGGCGGAAUAGUAUUUUGGUGGACGCUUCUGGUGGUUUGGGACUAUUUGGGGAUUUAUGGAACUGAGAGGGAGGUCGGUGGACUCGCGAGGGGCCCACAAGCCAGGGGCGCCCCCCUUAGGGUGCGCCCUGAGGCUUGUGGAGUCCUCGGGACUCUUCUGGCACUCUCUCCAAGUUACGUGGGUGUCUUCUGGUCCAAGUAAAAUCAUUGCGAAUGUUUUAUUCCAUUUGGACUCCGUUUGAUAUUCCUUUUCUGUAAAACUCAAAAACAAGGAAAAAAACAUAAACUGGCACUCGGCUCUGGGUUAAUAAGUUAGUCCCAAAAAUAAUAUAAAAUAGCAUAUUAAUGCAUAUAAAACAUCCAAAACAGAUAAUACAAUAGCAUGGAACAAUCAAAAAUUAUAGAUACAUUGGAGACAUAUCAUUUAUCUAGUGUGGAAGAUAUUGGGAAUUCUCGAUCGUUUUCGUUGACAGGAAAAGCAUGCCUCUCAGAACAAUUUUAUCUCUCAAUUUAAGCUUUGAGCUCUGGACCUCUACAAAUCUCUGCUUCCCUGUGCGAAGGGUCUAUCUAUUUACUUUUAUGCAUUUUUUAUUUUUAUUUAGUCUCCAUCUUCUCUUAUAAAGCGUCAACUUGGGAACACUGUUGUCAUACUUGUGCAUUGGAUGUAGCUAAUAUUUGAGUGUGUUUCGUGAAUGGAUCAAUGAUUGAGCAUAAUGGGCUAGGGAUAACUCGCUUUAGCAUUGAUAUUUUGAAAGACAUGGUUGGUUGUUGAUAUGCUUGAGUAUUGAUGUCUUCAUGUCAAAUUAUAGACCAUUGCUUUGAAUCACUUAAAGUCAAAAUGUCCAUGCUACAAAAGAAAAGAAUAUGUGAUGAACAUGAUAGGUAGCAUUCCACAUCAAAAAUUCUAUUUUUAUCAUUUACCUACUCGAGAACGAGCAGGAAUUAAGCUUGGGGAUGCUUGAUACGUCUCCAACGUGUCUAUACUUUUUUAUUGUUCCAUGCUAUUAUAUUAUCAAUCUUGAAUGUUUUAUAUACAUUUACUAGCAACUUUAUAUCAUUUUUUGGGACUAACCUAUUAACUUAGUGCCAAGUGUCAGCUGUUGUUUUUUUGCUUGUUUUCACUUAGGAGAAUAUCAAUACCAAACGAAGUCCAAAUGCCACGAAACUUUUUGGAGAUUUUUUAUGGCAAGAAGAGACCCUAGAAGCUUCUCGAAGCCAUGAGAAGAGACUCAUGGGGCCCACUAGGCACCAGGGCGCGCCAGGGGCCUUUGGUCGGCCCUGGUGGGUAGUGGGGCCCACGGGCACCGUCUUGACCUACCUGCUCCUCUAUAAAUACUCUAAAAUCCCAAAAACCUUAGGGGAGUCAACGAAAUACUUUUUUCGCCGCCGCAAGUUCCAGAACUAUGAGAUCCAAUCUAGAGGCCUUUUCCGGCACUCUGCCGGAGGGGGCAACAAUCAAGGAGGGGUUCUUCAUCAUCCUUGCUGCCCCUCCGAUGAUGCGUGAGUAGUUUACCACAGACCUACGGGUUCAUAGUUAGUAGCUAGAUGACUUCUUCUCUCUUUAUGAUCUUCAAUACAAUGUUCUGCUGGAUGUUCUUGGAGAUAUAUUUGAUGUAAUGACUCUUUGCGGUGUGUUUGUUGGGAUCCGAUAAAUUGUGAGUUUAUGAUCAGAUCUAUCCAUGAAUAUUAUUUGAGUUUUCUAUGAACUCUUUUAUGCAUGAUUAUUAUAGCCUCGUAUUUCUUGUCCAAACUAUUGGUUUGGUUUGGCCAACUAGAUUGAUUUUUUAUUGCCAUGGGAAGAGGUGCGUUGUGAUGGGUUCGAUCUUGCGGUACUCAAUCUCUGUGACAGAAAGAGACAUGACACGCAUGUAUCGUUUCUAUUAAGGGUAACAAGAUGGGGUUUAUUCAUACGUGAGUUUAUCUUGUUUACAUCAUGUCAUCUUGCCUAAUGCAUUACUCCAUUUUUCCAUGAACUUAAUACACUAGAUGCAUGCUGGAUAGCAGUCGAUGUGUGGAGUAAUAGUAGUAGAUGCAGAAUCGUUUCGUUCUAAUAAUCUUGGACGUGAUGCCUAUAUACAUGAUCAUUGCCUUGGAUAUCGUCAUAAUUAUUUGUUUUUCUAUCAAUUGCCCAAUAGUAAUUUGUUUACCCACCGUAUGCUAUUUUCUUGAGAGAAGCCUCUAGUGAAAACUAUGUCCCCCGGGUCUAUCUUUUAUCAUAUAAAAAUCCUAAAAAUACCUUGCUGCAAUUUUAUUUCAUUUAUUUUAUUUUGUGUUCUAGUUAGAUCUAUUUAUCAAUUCCUAUAAAAUUUAAUCUAUCUCAAUACCAUUCAGGGAUUGACAACCCCUCUACGCGUUGGGUUGCAAGUAUUUGUUGUUUGUGUGCAGGUGCUGUUUACAUAGUGUUGCUUGGUUCUCCUACUGGAUUGAUAACCUUGGUUCAUAACUAAGGGAAAUACUUAUCUCUAAUAUACUACAUCAUCCCCUCCUCUUCGGGGAAAUCCUAACGCAGCUCACAAGUAGCAGGUGCCCACUAGGCACCAGGGCGCGCCUGCCCCUCCUGGUGCGCCCUGGUGGUUAGUGGGCCCCUCAGGAACCUUCCCGACUCCGUUUUCCUCUGGAUUACUUGUUUUGCAAGAUAAACAUUCUUUAUAUAUACUCCCGGACAUUUUGACCACCGUAUCGCAGGAAAUCCUUGGUUCUUGUUUCGUGUUGUUUUCUGUCAGAUCUAGAUCGCCAUGGCUUCACCAAGCUCUUUCAAGGACAAGUUCUACGAGAAGUCAUCAACCCCUACCUGCCGAAGGUGAUGAAGCACCCUCAAGCCAUUGAGAUGCGUGAGGGGGUGCUCCACAUCCGGGAUAUUCAAGGGCCCAAGAAGACAGGAAGCGUGGAGGCCAGGUUUGAGGCGGUGGAGCAGGAUAUCUUCAGGUGCCAAGGGAUGGUGGAGCGUGGACUUAGGGCCAACCAUUCCAUGAUCACGGAAUUCACCCGUGACCAGAAGGUGGAUGGCGAGUCCAUGAAGGACAUCGUCUUCAACUUCAACGAACAAAACAAUUAUCUCCAUGGCCAAAUUUAUAAUCUCCAAAAUCAAAAUUUUGAGUAUGAGGCAAGAUUCAAAGGUAUGAGUUUAGCUGCAAGUUUCAGGGCUCCGGAGACUCGUGCAUCUUUUUAUGAUGGUGAACCUAUGCCGUGGAAGCCGGAGGACAAGCCCACUACUUCUUCACCACCACCAUCACCAAAGAAGGAGACUUGAGUACACGUGUAUGGGCACUCCCCUUGGCUUGUGCCAAGCUUGGGGGAGGUGCCCCGGUAUCGUAUCACCACCACUUUUAUUAUCUUUACCUAUUUUAGUUUGGUCCUUAGUUAUUUCGUGAUUUAGUUGAAUAAAAGUUUAGUAUGAUCUAUUUUCGUGUGCUAGUUUCGUGAUCUAUCUAUCUAUGUAAUCGAGUUGAGAGUUAUAUAAUAAAGAUUAGUUUGAGUGUUUUGCUUCUUUACUUUUAUGUUUCAAUCAAAAUAAAGGAAAUAAUGAAAACUAUCGUAUGCUAAUCUCAUGGAAGGUAAUGACAUUACAUAAGAAAGAGUGUAAGUGGUAAAAUUUAUUGAAAGUUGACAAACAUAGCAUUGGUCAAUGAUGCAAUUCAUGAAAGAAAUUAAUAAGAGAAGAGAAUAUUCACAUGCAAAUAUACCAUCUUGGACAUCUUUUAUGAUUGUGAGCCCCCAUUAAGUAUUUUAUGUCAAUUUGUUGACGCUGGAAAAGGAAGACAACUUAAUGAUUUAUGUUUGUUCAUAUUCACAUAGAAGUUAUAUUGUCAUAGAUCCUCCAACAUAUGGUGCUUGCCCAACAUCUUGCUAGCCAAAAAUCCAAACCAAGUAGAGAUACUACUUGUGCAUCCAAAAACUUUAAACCCAAUUUCUUGUUAUGAGAGUCCACCAUACCUACCUAUGGACUGAAUAAGAUCCUUCAAGUAAGUUGUCAUUGGUGCAUAAGGUAAUAAAAAUUGCUUCUAAAUAUGUAUGCUCUUUUAGUGUAAGGGAAAAUAAGCAUUGUACGAACUUGUGAUGGCAGAGUAAUAAAAGCGGCGGACUGCAUAAUAAAGGUUGCUAUCACAAGGGGCAAUAUAACGUGACGUUCUUCUGCACUAAGAGCAUGUGCGUCCAAAAGUUAAAAGCGCAUGACAACCUCUGCUUCCCUCUGCAAAGGGCCUAUCCUUUAUUUUUAUGUAUUUACUUUUUAUGCAAGAGUCAAUAGUAUUCUCUUCUACUCCUUUUUAUUUUUCUCUUUUGCAAGAAUCAUGUGGUGGGGAAAGAUCUAGGCACAUAUAUGCAGUUGGAUAUAAGUGAUCAUGAGUUACUAUUGUUGACAACACCCAUGUGGUGAAUAAGUUGGGAGGCGAAAAUUAUAAGCCCCUAUCUUUCUAUGUGUCUGGCUGAAAUUUUUUGCUCCAUAUAUAUGUUGUGAGUGUUAGCAAUCAUAGAAGACUAAAUGAUAGUUGAGUAUGUGGACUUGCCAAAAGGCUUCGACAUGAGACCCUUCUUGAAAAUAUGAUGAAUUGCAAUUGCAUUGUUGACUCAGAACAUAGUUUAUUAGUUUUCAAGAAAGUUUAUUCCUUUUACUUUGAUGAUUAUGAUGAAUUGUACUUGCUCAUGAGAAGUUUUUGAUAAAGUUUAUUGUUGUUAUAUUAAUGAUCAUGAUGCUACUAUGUAUGUAUUUUGGUUUUUAUCGACACCUCUUUCUCUAAACAUGUGGACAUUAUUAUCGAUAUCGGCUUUCGCUUGAGGGCAAAUAAGGUCUAAGCUUGGGGGAGUUGAUACGUCCAUUUUGCAUCAUGUUUUCCUACUGUCAUUUAUAGUGUUUUCAUUCAAUAUAACACUUUGUGGAGUGAUUCUAAUGCCUUUUCUCUCAUAAUAUGCAAGGUUUACACAAAGAGGGAGAUUACCAGCAGCUGGAAUUCUGGAUCUGAAAAAGCUAUGUUAGAGAUACCUACUCUGCACAUCUCCAAAUGAGCUGAAAUUUUACGAAGAUUUAUUUUGGAAUAUAUAAGAAUUAUUGGAGAAAAGAAAUACCAGAGGGACCACCCAGGUGCCCACUAGGCACCAGGGCGCGCCUGCCCUCCCCUGGCAUGCCCUGGUGUGUAGUUGGGCCCCUGGCCAGCCUCCGGUGCCCAUCUUCUAGUACAUAAGCCCAUUUGCCCUAGAAAAAAAAAAUCAAGAGAGGACUUUCAGGACGGAGCACCGCCGUCUCAAGGCGGAACUUGAACAAGAGCACUUUUUCUCUCCGGCGGAGAGAUUUCGCCGGGGAUACUUCCCUCCCGGAGGGGGAAAUCUAAGCCAUCGUCAUCACCAACCACCCUCUCAUCGUGGGAGGGCCAAUCUUCAUCAAUGUCUUCAAAAUCACCAUCUCAUCUCAAAACCCUAGUUCAUUUCUUGUGUUCAAUCUUUGUAUCAAAUCCUCGGAUUGAUACAUGUGGGUGACUAGUACUGUUGAUUACAUCUUGUAGUUGAUGCUGGUUGGUUUGUUUGGUGGAAGAUUAUAUGUUCAGAUCUAUUAUGCUAUUCAAUACCCCUCUGAUCUUGAGCAUGAAUAUGUCUUGUGAGUAGUUACUUUUGUUCUGGAGGACAUGGGAGAAGUCUUGUCAUAAGUAAUCAUGUGAAUUUGGUAUUCGUUCGAUAUUUUGAUGAUAUGUAUGUUGUGAUUCCCUUAGUGGUGUUAUGUGAACGUCGAGUACAUGACACCUCACCAUCUUUGGGCCUAAGGGAAUGCGUUAUGGAGUAGUUAUUAGAUGAUGAGUUGUUAGAGUGACAAAAGCUUAAACCCUAGUUUAUGCAUUAUUCCGUAAGGGGCUGAUUUGGAUCCAUAUGUCUAAUGCUAUGGUUAGAUUUUUUUCUUAAUUCUUCUUUCAUAGUUGCAGAUGCUUGUGAGAGGUGUCAAUCAUAAGUGGGAGACUUGUUCAAGUAAGGCCAACACCCAAGCACCGGUCCACCCACAUAUCAAAUUAUCAAAGUAGCGAAUGCAGAUCAAACAAACAUGAUGAAAUUGACUAGAUGAAAUUCCCGUGUCUCCUCAAGAACACCUUGCUUAUUAUAAGAGACCGUUCCGGUCUGUCCUUUGCUACAAAAAGGAUUGGAAUACCUUGCUGCACUUUUGUUACUGUUACUGUUACUUGCUCAUUACAAAUUAUCUUGAUAUGAAAUUACCUGUUACCAACAAUUUCAGUGCCUGCAGAAAUUACCUUGCUGAAAAUUGCUUCUCAUUUUCUUCUACUCCUUGUUGGGUAGACACUCUUACUUAUCAAAAGGACUACGAUUGAUCCACUAUACUUGUGGGUCAUCAGCCACCAUCACGUCCACCCAAGUCAAUUUCGUAUAAUGCGGCUUGGGCGGCCUUAGCCCACUGUAGAAAAUCGUCUGCAUUAAGUGCGGGCCCCGACGCGAACGCUCGCACGGGCACAGGCGUUGGCAUGGCACGGGCACGGGCGCAUCCAUCUGCACGGCCUCCGCCUCCAUCUGAGCAACCUCCUCCAACGCCUUGUCCAUCUCUGCCCACAAGGGGGCCAGAGGAUCCUCUUCCUGCUCCUCGUCAACGACGCCAAAAUAGAAGACUAGGGAUGCGCAUGGACGAAGUGUUAGUGCUGGAUUUGAGAUGGGAAUGGUGCGAGAGAAGGGACGAUCACUAUCUUAUAGCUCGCUGUAGGCGAGCUCUCCAUUAAGGAGAGGUGGUUGGAUAGGCGGCCGAAGGGGCGGUCAAAGUAUGUCGCGGCCUCAUCUCACUCCUUUAGUACGCACAGACUACCAUAUCGACGCGACAUCCGCUGGUCAAAGGCAUGUCUUCCGGUGAGAAUCGCUGACUUGGCCUGCUCGAUACCUGGACACUGGCCGCAAAGACGCAUCCAGACCGCCUGCAAACACGCCAUCAGGCGACCUGUAAACACGCAACCGGGUCGCCGCAUGAACGUAGCCUGCACAAACGCUCGCACAUGUCCUUUUCUUGCUAAUCUUCUGAAAUAACUCAUGACGGCGCCGCUCCAAUAAUUUAUGUGACACUAAUAACCGUAAUAUACCAGCUGAGCGACAGAUAAAAACAUCACCCAAAAUCAGGCAAAACGUCGCCAAAGAUGCUAAGGGUGUUGCCCGGGAGGAAAACACCUGGUGACGAUGGACCAUCACAGAAAAUGAUUUUAGGCUAUGGUUUGUUAUUCAUCACUAGGGUUUUUGCCAUCGAAUAGAGCAGAUUUUGUAGUGACGAUACAUGCCCCGUCCUCGCUUCGAUGCAUAUCUCCAGUGUAACGCUUCACCGAAAAGCUAGAUUAUAGUAAUUGUGUUUAAAAUUUAUGUCGUUUCAUGUUUAAUAUGCCACAUUUCAUACGAGUUUUCAAUGAAUUUAUAUGUUUAGGCCUCCAUUGGUUUGGAGGAAUUUCACAUGAAUUCUAUAGGAUGGGAUUGUUGUAGGAAUUUUUCUUCAGUUCAUAAGAAUGAAUUCCUAUUCCUACAUAGGACACGUUCCUAUCCUCCAUAUUUUAAAGGAAAAUAAGUAUGAGCUUAGACUUAAUAAAAAAUAUUCUAUAAUGUGAACCAAAUGGACAUCCGAUUUCGUAAUUCUACUCAUAGGAUUUGUGAUACAUGCCAUCUUAUUUCCUACAAGUUUUCUAUUUCUGUGAUAAUCCUAUACCAUGAACCAAAGGAAGCCUUAGUUCAUGUGAUUUUAGGGCUGUCAUAUAAGAAAAGAAAUAUGAUGCCCUUAAACCUCCUAUCUUUUCAACUAAAACUAUUUUUAGGACAUCAUCUUUUGGGCAGUGGUUGGAGGUUGAGUGAGUACAGAUUUUUUUUCAGCAACUGUUUUUUUUCUCGCACUAAGUUUUUAUAGCAUCGCUAUCCAGGCACUUGAGUAAGUACCUCGGGCCCAUCUCCUAUCAGUGUGUGUCCAUCGGACAUGAAGAAACAUUUCGGGGGUGUUUGGUUCAGAAGAUCCUAAGACUUUUUCUAGUCUCAGGACUAAUAAAAAAAAACUCUAAUAGAGUCUUUUUCUAGUCUUUAUAAAAAAAGUCCUUCCCGUUUGGUUCGUAAGGACUUUGUAGUUUCUGAACUAAAAAGUCGCUGAACCAAACACCCCCUUCAUGAAGCGCGAGCUUGGCGGGAACUGCGGGGUGGCACACCAGUUGCCGAGGCGGGACUGACGGGGACAGCCGGACAGGUCGCGUCGGUAACCCCAUUCCACGCAGACACGCCGUGGGACCUUCAGAGGUAAAGAUAGCUCUGGAGCCCUCGUUCUUGGCUCGGCGCUACUUUUGGCGCUGGCAUUUUGGGAAGUGGAAACGUGGAGCUGCCUGCUCUUAGGUAGUCACGGAUUCCUCAGCCGGCCACUCAUUGUAGGUGAGCAUGAGAGGGUGCUUGAAUACAGGACAACAAAUUCCUGGAAAAUGCAUUUCCUUUUUUUUACUUUUUUUCUUAGACCGUGAGCUUGCAUGCAUAACAAGCACACGAUACUAUAGGGGUCCGUUUGAUUUAUAGGAUUGCAAAAACAUAUGAAUAGGAAAAAAAUGUAGGAUUAGAAUGGCAUGUCAGUUGGAUUCUAUAGGAUUUGAGUUGGUUUGAUUGUGUCAUGAAAAAAACAAAAGAUUUCUUUCAAGAGGUUGGGGUGGAUGUUAGAAUUCCUGUAAAAUGUAGUAUAAAUGAAUUCUUAGAAAAAAAACCCUAUAAGAUUCAAUCCUACGAAUCAAGGGAUCAACGCAGGAAAAAUUUCUAAGGAUUCUAAUCCUCCAAAGUCUCAUAAAAAUCAUUUGAAUCAAAAAGACCCUAACAGCAUGAAAUGAUUAAGGGUGCCGUUGUGACUGAUGCAUCGAGCCAUACGAACCUUGGGGGCAGGGACUUUACCAUACUGCUGCUUUGGAGAUUUCAAUUUCAAAAUCAAAAGCUGCCGGACUCAAAAGAAAAUCAAGAGUUGGUGUUAUUCGCCUGGAAAGAGAACUUGGCUGUGAUAUAUCAUGUGCGGUUGGGCACCAAACUCGAUUCACCAUACUCACUCCGAUCCCAAAUAUAAGUCUUUUUAGAUGUUUCAACAAGUGACUACAUACGAGUAAAAUGAAUGAACCUACAUUCUAAAAUAUAUUUACAUACAUCCGUAUAUUAUAGUCCAUUUAAAAUGUAUAAAAAGACUUAUAUUUAGAAACAAAGGAAGUAGUUAUCAAAAUAAUCAGAAACGGUGCUAGAUUAUAACAGAAAGACCCGAAAAAAAAAGAAAAAGGAAGUCAAGAAGAGAGAGAGGGGGGCUGUGCCACUUGUGCGCCAUGAUUGGCCCAUUUUGGUUUUCAGCCUCGUUUAUUUAUUUACUGUUUUUCUUUUCUGUUUCGUUUUGUUUCCUUUUUUCCAACUUUUUUCGUCUACUUCAUUUAUUUUUUUAUUUUUCACUACAUUAAUGUUAAAACGCUCUUAUAUUAGUGAACGAAAGGAGUAAUCUUUUAGACUAGAAUUCGUCUCGUAGUAUAUGAACAUACUCCCUCUAUUUCUUUUUAGUCUACAUAUUAAAUUAAUCUGAAGUGAAAUUUUGUAAAGUUUGAACAAUUUUAUAGGAAUAUAAUAUUUUAAUAUUUACAAUAUGGAAUCGAUAUGAUUAGAUGCAUCAUGAGAUUAAAUAUCAUUCCAUAUAACUGAAGUAUUGUAGAUGCUGAUAAUUUUUAAUAUAAACUUGGUCAAGCUUUACGUGGUUUGACUUCAGACUAGUCUUAUACGCGAAGUAAAACAGAAACAGAAUAUGUUAAUAUGUUUUUUAGAAAAUCUAUGACCUUUUCAGAAAUAGAUGGGAUUUGUUCUGAGAAUAAGCACAUGUACUUUAUUUAAUACAAUAUUCUAUGUUUUUAAUGCCUAAAGGACAUUUAUUUGCCUAUUGAUGAAUAUUUUUUGUUUAGUGCAUAAACAUUUUUUAUCUAACUGAUAUCCUUAAAACCUAUUAAGAAAAUCCAUUUUCCCAACAUAAAAAUUAAAAACAAACUUAACGGGUUGUACCGACAGUCGACCCUAAUAAUAAUAUUUAGUUAGGCUUUGGUUGUCUCUUUUUUAGAACUAGAUGAUACGCCACGCAUUGCUGCAGAAAUCGAUUGUAAUAUACUUCAGUGAGAUUUGAUUGUGUGGAAUAUAAAUAUUUUGAUUAAUAACAUGUGAACCAAAAUCUUAAAUAUUUUCCCAUGCAUGGUUACAUGUGGUGGUGGGUCUUUCUCCAUUCAUGGUUGCAUAUUGAGGUGAGUCUUAUCCCAUUUUAUAAUUGUAUGGCGAUGUGGCAUGCUUGUAUAUUGAGAUAAAUAUGUUAGAGCACGGUUAAUAGUAUAGCCAACUGCUAGCUAUAUGAUAUUGCCAUGUUAUAUAUAGUCACCACUUAUAGUCACUCUAUAAUAAGGUUAGCUAUAAGGUUGGUCGUAGGCUUGUAGCUACUACUUUCUUACACGUUCUCUCUAUCUGUUUCUUCAUAUGUAUUGCAUUUGCCUAGGAGUACGCAUAUAGCUAGACACUUGCAUGAGAACACACUUCCAGCAUUUUUCCAUGUCUCUCUCCUCCACACACGCGAAAGUGCCAUGUCAGUGGCCAUAAACCGAUUAUUAUACUUGCUUUUAGUGGAGAUGACUCUAUUAGGUAUAUAGAACAGUCAUUGGACGUCUCUUUGCAGGAGGAGCUUUGUCUCGCUUAGAGUGAAACAAAAUGACAUGUCGCCUCCGGCGCACCCAAAAUGGCUCGUCCCAUUGCACGAGGGAGCACCGGCUCCUAGCUCACGUUUUUCUUUGUUUUAUUACUGUUAUUUAUAUUUAUGAAAAUGGAUACAUAUUUUAUUUAAAUCUUAUAAAACACUAAUUUCUCUUUUCAAAAAUGUCCAUGCAACUUUUAGAAAAUGUUGAUAGCAUUUUGAAAAAGUACACCCACUUUGAAAAAAUUGUUCAUGAUAUUUACAAAAAUGUUUAUGCAAUGUAAAAAUAUAUCCGUAUAACUAAAAAACAUGUUUUGUAUCAUUCAAAAAAUUUAUGCAGCAUUUUAAAAAAUAGUCAUGUGUUUCAAAAUGAUAUAUGUGACACUUUUUAAUAAUGUUUAUACAAUGUAAAAAAAACGGCCACGUGAUAUAAGAAAAAUGUUAAGUACCACUAAAAGAUGUUCAUGACUUCUUAAAAAAUAUUGGUGAAAUUUUGAAAAACAAUUAUACAAUGACAGAAAAAAGUUUAACAUACUUUGACAAAAAUGUUUCAUGCCAUGAAAAAAUGUUUCUACAAUGUAAAAAAAUGCUUACGUAAUUUACUGAAAAUUUUUAAUGCCAUUAAAAAAUUGUACAAUGUAAAUAAACAGUGAAAAAAUGUUUCUUGCCAUUAAAAAUAUAUUCCACGUGUAUUUCAGAAGAAUUUAACUUUUAUUUGAAAAGAUUUUGUAAAAAUAUAGUUGAAUUUGAAACAUGUUUAACAUGUAUUAAAAAGAUGGAAAAGGGGGAAAAUAAAUAAAAUAAAAGAGGUAAAUCUAAAAAAUCAGUGAAUAAAUGCAAAAAAAUAAAGAAAACCAGUUAAUAAAAAAAGAAAAAUAGAAAAGGGGAUAAGAAAACAAAGAGAGAGAAAACUCGAGCCAGAGGCGCUACACUACUGGGCUGGCCCACUUCCUCGCACCCAGAGACGAGACCAAGUUACUACUCGCAACGCGCGAGAAAUAGACUUGUCAGCUGUUAGGCUCACACUCUUUUUGAGGAAUAAAAUAGUGCAAUUUCUCACGCAUUGCGUGUAAAUCCAACUAGUCGGCCUUACAUGUAAAUCCGGCACGGUGUUUUAAAACAACUUCGACCCAAUCUACGUAUGGACUUGUUGUUUUGCUUCCUCGAAGGUCGCAUUCUUAUUCUUAUCCGCCUUUAUGCCUGAGACCUCCUCUUUCGUGCCUUGAGCACCAGAAAGCUUACAUGGCGCUCAUGCGCUAGCCAACUGGGCCUGGCCCAAACAAAGGAAGAAGGUCGCUCUGGUUUCCUAGGUCGCACGGUCGAUCGAUCAACAUGAGCUGCCCUCUCGUUUGACCGGUCGAUGGUUGACUAGUCAGCUGUUCACCGGUCAAUAUUUGACCGUUUGAUAUUUUUGAUAAAUAGAUCUGAAAAUUUUGGAAAAAUCUUGAGUUUGUCAAGAGUUCAUAGCCUUGAAAAAAGGUUCGCAAAAAAAAGUUCAAAAUUUUGGAAAAAGUUCAUGAAAUUUGCGAAAAUGGCCAUAGAUUUUGAAAAAGGAUCAUCGAGUUUUGAAGAAAAACUUCACGAAUUUGAGUUCAUCGAUUUUGGAAGAAAAAAAAGAGUUUAUCAAUUUUGAAAAGUUCAUGAAUUGGAAAAAAUCAUUGUUUUUAAAUAAGUCCAUGAAUUUGAAAAACAAAAUCAUGAUAGAUUUUAAAAUUAGUUCACUAUUUGGAAACGGUUAACUUUUUUUAGUAAAGUUGACGAAUCUGAGUGAAAAUUAAUUUGAUUGAAAAUAAAAAAUUCAGGAAAAAACGGAAAAUUAUUUCAAAUUUGAAAAAAAACAUGGAUUUCAUAAAAACGUAAAUUAAAAAAUAAAACUUAAUAAGAAGAUAAAAAGGAAAUGAAAAAAGCAGGUGAAAAAACCCUUCAUGGGCCGGCCCGUUUAGUUUCUUGUGUUGCGAGGGGGUGUGCGCCGGUUAGCAAAAAUGCACUGUAAUCGGCGCUUAAGGCACCAAAUAGGAGUUGGGUCUAUGCUUUCGUCUCAAACAAUUGAUGCUUGACUCAUCCGCAAGCUUCUUCUUAAUUACUACUAUUAUUUUCUCUAUCUAAUAAAGAAGACUCGUCCAAAGUGUUUAUGCAUAAAAAUAUACUCUAAAUCUCCUCUAUCUAUCUACUCAUGUGAUAUAAUCGUAGCAGAGAAAAGAACUCUAUCCAAAGGAGCUUGCCUCUGACCAGCAAAAGCCUAAACUAUAUACAAAGGCCACAUGAUUUGGCGUGCCGCGUCCCCAACUUCCAACUCCCGGCAGUCGGUCGCCAGCUUCCCGCGCCAAAUCCAAUGGGUGGUGAUGCCAAAUCUUAGUCUGUUGGAUUCUACCCACCAGACCACAUCAUUGGCCGCAGAACAGUCGGUAAGGUGAGACGAUUCUCCGAUUCUCAGUCGUCGCCAGUAUUCCCUGUGUACAAAACAAGAUGAUGAUGUGUGUGCGGUAGUUUAGCGCUUGGUAACUCUUACGUUUCAUUCUCCUCCCCCGUGCGGCGGCGCCGCGCCGCACCGGGGCCUCUCCGCCGGGCCUCCCUCUCCUUCCGCCGCCGCCGCCGAGGGCAUCGCAGGCUAAGCCUGCGGGCCGCAGCGGCGGCGGCGGCAAUCUUCCUCGGCCGGUGAUCGGAUCUGGGUGGCGGCGACCCACUCCGGCCGAUCCAAGGGCGAUGGCGCAGGCCGGUGGCGUCCAGGGUUGUCGUGCUGGUGGCGGCGACGAAGAGAUCACGUCGGCGGCUAGGGUGUCCGAUCUGGAUCCCAUUCGGAUCUUGAUGGUGGUUUCUCGAGCCGUCGUGCAUCCUUUGUUCCGGCGCGGCAAGCGGCCUCUGGACUAGGCACGCGACACGAGGACGUCGGGGGCUCCGGCCCUCGGCGUGGAGGUGGUGGCCAUCUUCUUCGCCAGAGGUGGUCGGCUAGAUGGUUGUGGAUUCUCGCAUCCAGUCUCGGCGUACAGUGGGUAGACGGGGCUGUCGGUGAAAACCAUGCUAUGACUCGGGUCAUGGCGGGCGAUGGCGGCGCUUUUCGCGUCGUUAUCUUGUUGAAGACAUCGCCUCUGCAGCUUCUGUCGACUUGCUUGCGCUGCUCUGGGUGAAAACCUUGAUCCGGAGUUUCCGGAUCAGACGAUGGCGGUGCUUUUGGGGCGUCGUUUUCCCUCAUGGGGGCAUCUUUUUUUGAGCAGCGGCUGGAUGCAGGACCAGAGGACGGAUUCUUUGGUGGAGCGGUGCGGCAUCUCACUCAUUGAUGGCGGCGGGUCUCGGCGGCAUGGCGUUGUGGUGACUCUGCGUCCGAUGCGCGGAGAUGGACUCGCGCAGGAGGGUGACGCGGUCUGGCGUCGUGGUGGCGUCGACGGCAAUUAGACCGGGCAAGGUAGAUGCAGCAGUACAGCUCUGAAGAUGGAUUGGUGGCAGGUGGCUGCGGCGGCCUCAGACCCGGCAGGCGUCCUGGUUGAGGAGUGCGCCGGACUGGUAGGUGACCCAUACCCGGCAGGCGUCCUGGAUGGGACCUGGGGUCUUAAAUGUUAGGUUUGGCUGCGAGGUCUGUUUGGUACUAGGCCCAGACUAUCAGCAUCCCUUCAUCACUUGGAUAGGAGUAGCGACACUUUUGUUGCCUAGACGGUGGCUUCAGUCUUACUGUUGUAUGACUUUGUGAGGUCUUAUACCAAUAAUUAAUAAAGUGGCUGCAUGCAUCGUUCAGAUGCAGAGGCUAGGGGUCCUCCUCCAUUUUUAAAAAAAAUAACAAGAUGAUGAUACGCCCCUCCUCCCAACCGGUAGUUCAAAUGGGCCGCGUAGCUGAACUGGUCGCCCAAAAUAGAAAGGCAACGCCAGCGCCAACUGCUGGCCGUAGCCGGCCGCCGGCUGCUUCGCAAUAUUUGGGUGCAGGACUGCAGGAGCAGGUGAAGGAGGCGUGCACCUUCAGAUCAGAUGUAUUGGAUCAUGACAUGAUCAGCUAUUUUGAACUCUCUAGUCCACUAGUACAAAUUACAUGCCCAGCUAAUUCAGCCUUCUUUUGUGUUGUGGCAAGCCGGAGCACUUCGGGCAGUUUAAAGUUGGCAGGCGAAACAGACCUGCCCAGCAAAGACGUCCAAGGGCACAUGAUGGCGGUGUGCCGGAUAUGCACGCGCCGUGCAAACGCGAUGAAAUGGGUCACACCUCACCAUCCUUUAUCACUCGCCAGCCUCCGUUCCGAAAGCACAGGUCCACCAGACCAGAAGCGAGUCGGAUUGCAUGGCCGCUAAUUAACGACAAGACAGAGCGGAACUGGACGUCUCCCCGCCUUUUUUCCUUUCAAAACGGAGUAAGAUAAUUGUCCCAUCAAUUACUUAAGCAGAAGAGAAUUACCCAUUUAAUUGACCGACAAAAACCAGGCGAAAAUCGUCAUAAUAUGACCACAUUUGGAUAGACCACUCUCAAAGCAUGAAUCCCCAAGACGUCAAAGAAAAAAGAGAGAGAGCAUGAAUCCUCACAACCACCUCAACAGAUGAACACACGUCUGCCCGACCUGAUCUACAACAGCCCCGCUGAAGAAGCUAGUGCGAUCUACGCCAAGCACGCCGGUCUCUUCUCCUUUCUUCCGUUGUGCUCGCGUACCGACCCGGUCACCUCCCGCAGCCACACAAAGCCAACCCCGACCCGAUCCGAUCCGAUGACGCCGCGUUCCGGGGAGAUAAGGCCACGCGUCUCCGGCCACGCCAAGCCGCGCCGAUCGAGCAGCAGACACCACCGUUGGGGCCGAGAAAUCCCGCGCCAACAGCGACGCGUAUCCGACGAUCCCCGCCUCAUCCGGUCGACGGUGGGAUUUCACAUGCUGUCGCUCGUCUCGUUGCGCGCAGACCACGUUCCCCCCUGCUCACGGCCGGGGACAGCUGCGUGGUCCACCCCGAAACUUGGAAAACUCCGGCUCGCGGGCACAUGAUUUUUUGGCGCGCCGCGCGCGCGGUGGUGGUGGUGCCGUGGCCGGUCGCUUUCCUUGGAUUCUCCGCGCGAUUCGGGCCGGGCCGGCCACGGAUGGAUCAUGCGCGCGCGCCGAGGAAUAUGCCGCCCGGCGCCCGCCCUCCUUAUCGCUUCUUCUUGAGUUGAUAUUUUUGUAUAAGACGGAGGCGUCUUUUGGGUGAUGGCUCUGGGCGUGUCUGGUUCCAACUGCCUUCCCGUGUGGAUAAAACGGGAGGCGUCGACCGACCCCAUGUUGCGCGCGCGAGCCGCCCGCCCCGCCCGGCCCGGCCAGGUCAGUGCGGCCGGCUCCGUGGACGCGUUCCAGAAAAUUUGACUCCCCACGACAGAAAGAGGCGGCCGGGUGGAAGGGUCGUACCAGUCGAGCUCGCUAUUGGACUAGGGAACGUGUCCGAGAGUUUCCCAACACGCAAAAACACGAGUCGUGGAUUUCGCCCCGGAGCAAGACAUGGUGGAUGCGUCACCACUCGUAGACCACACACGAAACGACUUUUGAAAUUUAUGGAGCUACUUACUAGUCCGGCACCACGAGCUUGAACAAGUCCACCUGCCCACGGAUAAGGAUUAGGGAGCACAGAUUCUUGGCAGACAACCUACUUGAGUGAAAUUAGUGGUCAGUGCCACGGAUUAGGACACGUAAUUGUCCCCGCUAGACAAAAAGCGGGUACCAUCUGCGUCGGUGGGAGUCGACACCGCGAGCCAUGGGAACACGGAAACACAAACACCGUUUCAUCACCCUAGCUUGUCGACGGUCUGGUUGGGCCAGCAAACCAGCGGCCGUGUCCCUGCACCGGUGCUCGUGCCAUGGCAGGCGCGUGAGCUAGCCGAGCUGUCCCUUGUUCUUUUCCACUGGGCGAACACGCGCCUUCCACCUGGACUGGUCGCGGGGGCGGGUGUCCAGUUACGCACAGCUCAUCACUUUCGCCAGGAAUUAUGGUACAGUCCUUAACCUGAUUGUCCCACUACGCCUCUUUUUCUUUUUCUUUUUCCGAAACGGAGGCAAAAGAUUUGCCUCAUCCAUUAAUUAAGAAGAAGUUUAAAAUUGCUUUUACAACGAAAAGCAAGGAGAUUUAAAUACAAAGCCACUACUCUCCCGGUAUUAUGAGACCCAAAUGUUUGGCUCCUGCCAUGACCCAAAGCUUAGCCUCCCGCUGAAUGUUGAGUAAUAGGACGGACGUCAGAGUAGACUUGUGUUGGAACACCCUAGCAUUCCUUUCACACCAGAUAGUCCAACAAGUCAACAUGAUGAGGGAAGCGAUGGCUUUCCGGUGUCUCACGCCGACGCCCGACAUGUUGAUCCACCAAUCGUGGAUGGAACGCCUAGUCAUCCAAACCGAGGUGUUGAUGAAGUCUAGAUUGAGCCAUCCCUUGAUCAUCCCCCAAAUUCUAGUGGAGAAGCGACACUUGUAGAAUAAGUGAUUAACGGUCUCGCCCGUUUGUUUGCAAAGCGGGCAGAGCCCACAGUUGGGCCACCCCCUUUUCUGUAAUCUAUCCGCCGUCCAGAUACGGUUUUGAAUCACAAGCCAAGCGAAAAAUUUCAUCUUGGGUGGCGCCCAAGCCUUCCAAACCGCGAAGUGCAUGGACGAACAAACCGUCCCAAGAAGUUGCGCCUUGUAGCAGAAGUGGCGGAGUAAGCUCCAUCAAGAGUGUGCUUCCAAGUAAUUGUGUCCUCCGAUAUAGGAAUGACUCACAAUCGAGCCCACAAGGUGACGAUCUGCCGAAUGUGCUCCAUGGUCCAAUGGUCGGGAAGCUUAAUUGACGAUAGCCAUUUGUCCUCAUGCAUGGCCUCCCUAACAGUCCAAUUCUUGCGUUUGGACGCCUCGAAGAUGAGAGGGGCGAUGUUGGCGGGCUUAUCCCCAUCAACCCAAGGGGAAUCCCAGAAAGGAGCGCGCGCCCCGUUGCCUAUGGUGAUGUACGAAGAUGCAUAGAAGAUAUCUCGGUCCAGAAUAUCACAAGGGUUGGCCAUGCCCACCCACAUCUUGGAGGGCUCCGCCCAUUCAAACCACAACCAUCUCAAUCUGAGAGCUCUCGCGAAUUUGGUAAGAUCAAGGAUCCCCAAACCUCCCAACUCAGUCGGUCUGCAAACCAAAUUCCAGCUGACCUUGCAUUUCGCCCCUGUUACCUUGUUUGUGCCAGCCCAUAAAAACGCCCUCUCAAUCUUGGUAAUAUUACGCAGUGUACUCACCGGCGGUUUGAGAGCGAUGAUGUGGUAGAUCACCUGGGAGGUGAGGACAGAUUUGACAAGAGCUCCACGCCCAAUGGAGGUAAUAUUUUGCCCAUCCCACGGCACCAGCCUGGCAGCCACCUUGUCUUCAAGGAAUUGAAAGUCCGCCGCCUUCAGGUGGCGGAUUGACAGUGGCAGCCCCAAAUACUUGAUGGGGAAGGAGGUCCGAGCAGCGGGAAGCGCGGAGAGGGUCUCAUCCAAGUUUACGUUCCCGCACCGGAUAGGAACAACUAAGCUCUUUUGGAAGUUUGUACAUAAACCUGUAACCUUCCCAAAGUGAUUCAGGAUGAGGGCGAAGUUAUCAAUGUCCUGCUUGACCGGGGCCAUGAAGACGGCCGCAUCAUCAGCAUAAAGGGAGGUGCGGAAAAUUGCACGACGCCCCUUAAACUUGUGCAACAACCCGCACCUGGUGGCAAUGUCGAGGAUUUGCUGUAGGGGGUCAAUGGCGAGGACGAACAACAGCGGAGAGAUUGGGUCUCCUUGGCGAAAACCACGGCCAUGCAUAAUGAGGGGGCCGGGCACGCCAUUAAGCAGGAUCCGCGAGGAUGAAGACCGGAGCAGUGCGGUGAUCCAUUCCCGAAACCGUGGUGGGAACCCCCUCCGUUGGAGGAGAUCAAUGAUGUACUCCCAUCGCACGGAGUCAAAAGCUUUGCGGAUGUCAAGCUUGAAGAGAAGCGCGGGGGUCUUGCUUUUGUGGAGCCGACGAGCAAGGCCCCGAACAUACAUGAAGUUGUCGUGAAUGUAUCUCUUUUUGAUGAAGGCACUUUGCGCGCUGGAGAUGAGGGCAUGCAUGUGAGGGCUAAGUCUGGCAGCGAGGACCUUAGCAAUAAUUUUUGCAAUGGCAUGAAUGAGGCUUAUCGGUCUGUAAUCAGAUAUCUCCUCCGCGCCCUCUUUUUUGGGUAGGAGCGCAACGUUCGCUGAGUUUAGCCACUGCAAAUUGGCCGAAUGCAGAUUGUUGAAACAGAGAAUGGCUUGCAUGAUAUCGUGCUUUAUGAUAGGCCAACAUUUUUUGAAGAAGGAGCCAGUGAACCCAUCCGGGCCGGGGGCUUUGUCCCCCGGUAACUGAUUGAUGGCCUCUCGAACUUCAUCCUCCGAAAUUGGAUCAUCAAGAUCGGAGAGGUCGUGAUCAUGAAACGCGAGCUCCUCCCAGUUAAAGUCCACAGGAUGAGAGCUCUCCUUCCCCAUCACCCUGGUGAAAUGGUCGUGCAUCAAACUUUCCUUCUGCUCAUGCCCAGUGAUCCAUCCAUUGUUAUGUCUGAUCCUAUGAAUAUGAUUCUUGCGACGACGCGCGUUGAUCCACCGGUGAAAAAUAUUUGGUGUUGGCAUCACCCUCCUUAAGAUUAGAAACUCUGGCACAUUGCUUCCUCCGUGCACGCUCCAGGACCGCCAAGCCCACCACUCUUUGCUUAAGCCUGGACCGGAGGUCCUGCUCGGCGGCAGACAGGACGCGGUUCUCUUGAGCGAUGUCAAGGCGCAAGAUCACUAACAGGGCAGCAUGCAAGAGAAGCUUAGCACGAGGGAAAAGCUUUCGGCUCCAUUCAGCCAACCGCACUCCGGUUUUCUUGAGCUUAUGGAAUAGCCGUCGGUAAGGCUCAGCGUGGUUGCAAUCCUCAUGCCAUGCGUUACUGACAACAUUCAUGAAGCCCGGCAUGGAGACCCAAAAAUUCUCAAAUUUGAAGGAGCGGGGCCGCCGAGGGCCACUGUCAUCCGCAAGGAGGAGAGGACAAUGAUCGGAUAGCGACGAGGAGAGCGCACGAAGGACGUGAGAACUGAAACUGAGGUCCCAGUCUGUAUUGCAGAAAAAGGAGUCAAGCUUGCAAAGGGUAGGGUUGGCACGUUCGUUGCUCCAAGUGAACCUUCUGUUCUGGAGGUGUAUCUCGUUGAGCUCACACUCAUGGAGAGUGUUGCGAAAUCGGUUGAUACAGCUACGGUUGAUGUUUCGCUUGUUCUUGUCCCGAGCCCUGUAUAUUUGGUUAAAGUCGCCUAGAACCAGCCACUUCGUACCCGACGACGGCUUUUGAGCAAGAAGUUCGGAGAAAAAAAUCAUUCUUCAGAGAGGAGGCCGUGGGGCCAUAAACGGCCGUGAGCUUGAAGGAAAUGUUGGUGGCACGGACUAAGACAGUAGCGGAAAGUCAAAAGGUAAACAUCUCAGACCUGCACAGCCUCGUCAUCCCAAAGAAGCAAAAUGCCUCCUCUAGUUCCCACAGCCGGCCGCUGGGCAAAACUCUUGAGCCUAGCUCCCCCAAGAAAGGCAGCGGUAAACUGAUCCAUGGCAGCAAGUUUGGUCUCCUGGAGACAAGCCAAAUGACACGAAGUGGCAGCAAUAGUUUCAUGAACGGUAGCACGACGAUCCGGGCAGUUAAGGCCCCUUACAUUCCAGCAAAUAAAAUUAACAGGUUGUCCUAACAUUGGAAACCAAAAGACCCAAAGAACACAAAGCAUCAGGAGGCAAGGCUCAAGCCACAGCCUCCUCAUCGUGGUCCAGCGCAGCAGCACCUCCAUGACUGAUGAGAGCCUCUUCCACGCUAGCAGCAUGAGCAUCAUCAAUCUUGAAGAGGCCUCGUAGCGCAUGCAUGAUAUUUUCUGGCAGCUGGUCUUUGAAUUGCAGCUCGAACUGAUCCAGAGCCCUGGCAGUUACGUCUUCUCCGUCGCGGAUGAUGCCGAUCGAGCGACAAACCAGCCCCUGCGCCUCCUUUGCCAUAGACGUGGCAAACCCCACUUUCUUCUUAGCUUGCACCCUAGCGCUGAUGCGGCACAGGGAGAGACCACCCUCGGAGGAGAUGGUCAUCCCUGCAAGAGUUUUGCGCCGCCUGGAAGGAGCUUUGACCGGAGAGGAAGUAGGAGACGGGAGCAGUGCCGGCGCCCAGGGCACAAACAGAGGCUCCAGGCCAGCAGGAAUGACGCCCUCCCUGGCAACAGCCAGCGGCGUCCUUGGUGUUGCUGCAGAGAUGACAGAAGGCGUUGGUGAGUUCCCAAACCCAGGGGGUGCGAAGGAGACGGCGACGACAGCGACAAACAAGCCGGAGAACACAGGCUCGCCACCACAGGGCUGGCUGGCGCAACCCUGGCCACCAUCGCAGCCAUAGCAUCAGCAGAGCGGUCGUCAGCACGCCUGGAGCUCAUUGGAGCAGGAAGAACCGAGGUGGGCGUCAGGGGAGGGGACGCCGGCGGCGUCAGGUUGUCGCUGGCGUGGCUCCGCACCGAGCGUGGCGACAGAUGCCGAGAGGCAGCGCGGCCACGGCCAGCCUCCGCGGUCUGCGCCAACGCCACAUCAGCGACAGUGGCGCCUCCCAGCCCAGCGGUCUGCACCAGCGCCGCCACGCACUCAGCAGCGGCAGGGGCUCCUUCCUGCCUGCGACGCCCAUCGCGGCCGUCAUGGCGAUCCCCGCGGCGGUCGUCGCGCCGCCUCUGGUCGUCACGACGCUGGUCUUCAUGCCGACCAUCCCCAUCCCUCCUGUCUCCAGCAGCGCGGGAGCGACUCCGAAAGAUUCUGCCCGCCCAGGAGCCACGGUCGUCCUGACGACCACGCUGGUCGUCAUCAUCUCUGCGCCCAUUGCGGUCUUCAUGAUCGUCAUCGCGGCGUUGGCAUGUGCCACGGGAGGCGGGGGAGCUGUGGCUCUCCCGCGGCUGGCGCUCCCCGUCGAUGAUGCCCUUGUCCCAGUCGUAGCCCUGCCGCCUUGCACUUUGAGGAACGUUGCCAGCCGCAUCAGGACUGAAGUCUUCCUUAUAUAUACCAAUAUAAUACUACUCCAUACAAGUCCGUAGUUUCUACAGUACAAUAAUUCCUGGCUACAUAUUCAGGUCUUGAAGAAACUGAUGGCAGGAGGUUGAUGAGCCCACCUCUCCUUUUGCUACAAUAAUUCAAGGAGGUUGAUGAGUCCAUCUAGGUGGUGCUUCCUGGUGAUGUUGAGAUGCACCAUUUAUCUCGUGCGUCUUUUAAGCCAUAAAUGGUUGUUAAGCACAAGACCACUUUUAUCCCGAGCCAAGAGCUACUCUACACGGACGCUGCUCCUCCCUUUUUAUCCCGUGCAAUGGAAGCCAAGGGAACACGAAUAGUGCGCUAAAAGUGUGACGCGGAAAACCAAACACGUUUCGAUCCAUGGAAUCUCAUUUUACACAUUUUCCGCCAAGACGUCAAAUUAUGUGGUGCUCCAGCACCAAACACGCAAAAGGAUGAAUUUGUGGAGUAAAUCCCAAGGAUAAAAACCACCUGUCUCUUCGGCAGGUGAAGGGAAGGGAAGGAGUGCCCCUUCAACCAAGGAACGAGCCUCCGGUGCAGUGGAACUCACUAUCUACAGCUCGAUCCACCAGAUUUUUCCAAGUUCAAACCUCGUGCAAAUUUUACUUGGCAUCUCCGUAUCUCCAAAUGCACUGUUGCAGAAUGGGCUGGGUCGCCGGGCAUCAGUGUUUGUUUGUAAGAGCAUCUUCAGCCGUUGGCCCCCCAUGGGACGCCUAAAAUCGCCGCCCGGUGAUGAGCCGGCGCAAGUCUGGGGGCGAGUUGGUCCCUAGCCGCCGGCCCCAGGGCCGCCUCCAGGCGCGUUCAAAAAAUAAAAGUAUAUAGCAAAGUUCGGCUAAACACGACAAAUUUCGGCCAACUUGAGCAUAUAUUUCGACAAAGUUCGCGGAUUUUCAUUACAUAGCAAAUAUAUAAACUAAUUAAAAAAGAAACUGGCUGAACCCCAAGUAGUCACCGUCGUCGCCGCCAUCCUCACCGCCGGCCUUCUCCUCCUUGACGCGGGCGCCCCUUCUGGACCCGGCGUCGCCAUGGCGGACUGGUGGCGGCGGCGGCGCAUCGUCGUCGUCGCUGUCGUCGAUGACGACGACUCCUCCUUCGUCGCGGCCCCGGCGGCGCUCCGCGAAGCGCCGCAGGGCGGCGCACUGGCGCUCCCUCGCCAUCUUCAGGGAGUCCUGGCGUGCCCAUUCAAGGGCCGCAUCGUCGUCGAGCUCGACCUCGCCGUGCUCCGUCUUCACGGCGGGGAGACCCGGCUCCGCCUUCACCGGCGCGAGCCCCGGCUUCGUCUUUGGCUUGACAAAGCGCGGAGGAGGAGCCGACGAGGAGGCGCGCCGGCCGCCCUCGUUGAUGACGAUGCCGGCGCUGCGAGUGCGCCGGCCGAGCGGCAUCUCCGCCGCGGGCUCGGCCUUGACGCCGAGCAGCGCCGAAGUGCCGGAGGAGUGCGAGGAAGAACGCGAGGAGGAGCCGAACCUUCUUGGCGCCCAUGGCCCGUCGCGUCGGCGGUGCGCCGGGGCGGCCGCCCUCGCCGGGGGGUACUCCAACGGCGGGUUGUUGCCGCCCUCAAGGUGCGUCAGCACUUCCUCGAGUGUGCGGCCGGGGACGCCCCACCACAGGUGGCGCCCCUCACUGUUCUUCAGGCCGCCGACCACCGGCGCGCCGUUGGUGGACGCCAGCCGCUGUUGCUGGCGACGCUCGAAGUAUGCCGCCCAAGCCGCGUGGUUGUCGGCGGCGUACUGGGGGAGGGCGAGCUGGGCGUUGGUGAGGGAGGCGCGCACGACCUCGACCUCGUCAGCGAAGUAGGAGGGUUUCGCCACGGCGUCGGGCAACGGGGGAAUGGGCACUCCCCCCUUGCUGAGCCUCCACCCCGUCGGCCCGGCGUGCAUGUCAGGCGGCGCCGGGAUGUUCGCCUGGAACAGGAGCCACGACUCCUGUUCAUGGAGCGUGCGGCGGCCGAAGCCGUUGGCCGCCGCCUCGUCUCCGGGGAAACGCUCGGCCAUCGGGAGAAGAAGGGGAGGGAGAGGGAGGGGCUGGGCGGCGGCUCACGGGGGAGGGAGAGGAAGAGGGAGAGGGAGGGCUCGGCGGCAGCGCUCGGGAGAGGUAGAGCUCGGCGGCGAGGGCGGGGCUGGUGUGGCCACACGCGGGCGAGGCCACCGGCUUAUAUAGCCGCACCGCGCCCGUGUGUACGCGUGCGAGGGAGGGGAGGCGUCGGCGCGCCGUCCCGUGACGCGCCGCCCGUGAGGAAUCAAUGGCAAGGCUGACCGGCGGCAGCCUUGCCAUUGAUUCCCCGCGGGAAACCGAGGUGUUGGGGGAAGACGAGGCGCGGUGUCGCUGACGCGGCUGGCCCGCGGCUUUUUCGCGCCAAAACCGCUUGCCCCGGCGCCCCCAGGCCCCCCAGCGCGCCGGGUUCGGCCUGGGUCCGCCGGCGUUGAUUUCGGCGCAGGCCGGCGAAAAUCGGACUCCUGGGGCGCGACUGGGCCGUUUUUUCGGCGCCGGCACGAAAAAAUCGCCUUGGGAGGCCUCCCUGGCGGCGCGGCUGGAGAUGCUCUAACUAGCCGAUCGAUUAUAGAGGUUUCGAAGCAUAUGCCGGUAUAAUUCUCCGGUACGAUUUUGAUCAGAGUCAUUGGAGCCACAAGCUCCUCAAAGCGAUGCAUUAUCACCUCCUACAGUCUGCCCUCCGUUUCUAAAUAUUUGUCUUUCUAGAGAUUUCAACAAGUGACUAUAUAAAAAGCAAAAUGAGUGAAUCUACACUAAAAUAUGUCUAUAUACAUCCGUGUGUGAUAGUCUAUUCAAAAUCUCUAAAAAGACAAAUAUUUAUAAACAGAGGGAGUAGUACAGUAGGUUUUAGCAGGGUCACCGACGAAUCAGCUCCCAAUCCCAAUUAGAAGGGCAACCCAGCGGCAGCGCGCCGCGUGUCCCGGCUCCGCUCCGCUCAAAAACAGAUCGACAUGGUGACUUGCAAGGCAUCAUCUCCACCACAACAUGGCAUGGCCUGAGAUGUCAGCCUCGCAAACCAACUCCCCGAAAAGGAUAAUAAUAAUCAUAUUAUAGUAAACCUACCAGCGAACAAACUAAGGAGAUGGAGAUAAGAUCGGAUCGGGGCGGCGCCAGCGGCAGAAUCCGCCAAAGCGGAGGCAUGUGGGUGGGAGUGGCCAACAAACUUCAAUACUACUCCGUUUUUAUUUCUGAAAAAGAAAUGAUAAGCCGUGCUCAUGGGGUCCAAGUCAUCGGUGUCCAAGCGAACCUAACUUGCGCAAUGUAAACACGCCGGAAACGAACGGUGAUGUCACUAACGCGAAAUGCGUUCGGUUUUCGGAGUAUUAGUCAAAGCGCACUAGUAGGACGCCCCGCGUUAUCUUAUCCCCGUCGCCCCCUCUAUAUAUACCCGCCCUCCUGCCAGAUUGUAAAGGUCGUGAAACAUAGCGAGCAACAGCAAGAACAAGCGCAGGAAUAUAUCCAUCCAUAUACAGCAGCGAGCAUACCUUCCUUGCCUUUCUCCGUGAGGUCCAUUGCAAUCCAGAAACCUUCAAGUAUGGGCAGAUCUGCAAUUUCUCAGGCCCUUCCGGUGCACCAGGAAGACGAGGACCUGUUCGAGACCUCCUCCUCCUUCUCCUGCGACUCCGACGACGAGGCCCAGUUCUCCGACGGCGAGGACCAGUUUGUGCCGGCUUCCCCGCCGGUGCGGAGACUGAAUUCUGACAGCGUCUACGAUCUGUCGUCCAUGAAAGCAGAGCUCUCUGUCAAGUAAGUCUCCGAGGAACUUGAUGCCUUCCUUCAUAAGUUCAUCACACCGUCACAUAUAUGUGCAGCAGCAAAAGGGGAGUUUUUCCUGACCGUGCGGUUCUUCUCUUUGCAGGAAAGGAGGGUUGUCCAAGUACUACGACGGAAAGUCCCAGUCGUUCGCGUGCAUGUCCGAGGUGAGGUGCCUGGAGGACCUGCCCAAGAAGAGCCCCUACAAGAAGAUCAAGUCGUGCAGGAGCAACAUCGAUCUGGACGGGAACCAGAAAGCCUGCCCCGUACCUGGUUCUCACAACAGCAAAGGAAUGGCCAAGCCCUCUGGAAGCUCUUGCGCGAAUCUGAUGGCCCGGAAUAACAGCGCAAACAUGCUCUACAGGCCUCCCGCGAUCCCUGUCAACAAGAGCGCGUGCCAUCAGUAGGGCUCGCGGCUGGAAAUGUCUGUCCACGGCUGGCCUCGCGCCUCUUCUUUGUUCCUUGAUGAGGAUUUUUCUUGGCGGGCGUAUUAGCCUGUCAAAUGUAAAGAGGCUUUUGAUUCUCUCAUGUUCAGGAAGAUAUUGAUUGAUUCGGUGUGUAAAUAGAGAGACCGGUUGUAUACCAAACAUUUUUUUUACUGCAGUGCCUGAUUAGCAAAAUUCUCUGAGAUCCGAAUUCUGAGAUCUUAUAACUAUCCUGGUUAUUCUGCUUUUGAAGAAAAAUGGGACAAAGGCAUAAGCCGUGCUCAUCCGGUCCAAGUCAUCGGUGUCCAAGCAAACCUAACUUGUGCAAUGUGGAGAUGUCCCAAUUGGAGUUGCAGAAAAGAGUCUAGUUUGCACAAGGUUAGGUCUUGACGCUCGUUACUCCAAGUGAACCGCCGAUUCUGCGAGUGAAUUUCCUUGACAAGGCGUCAUGGAAUAAGUUGAUGAUCCUUCUCCUAUCGAAGCUUGACUUAUUCUUGUCUCUCGCCCGGUAUAUCUGAUUGAAAUCACCGCAUACAAACCAACCCUCGCCGGGCUGCGGUAUAUUGGACCCCAAACGCCCUAAAAGCUUCCAGUUUGAGAAUUUAUGGAUUUAUAUACGUGGGUUCCAACAAUUGUCCGUGAGGCUUGGGAUGCCCCGUCUGAUGUCCUGUUCCAUAAGCUACACAAAACUGCCUUCAUGCAUGCUUAAGUGUUGGAGUAAGAGGUUGUUCUCGUCGGCAAAGAUCCGGCUUCACGUGGCGCUGCAGGUCAUCCUUUAUCUCGACACCGCUCAGGAUAAUCGGCCUCUCUCGCCCGAGGAGGCCGAUGUGCGAGCUAGACUCAAGAGGCGUGUUAUCGGCCUGGCCAUCAUAGUCCGAACUAGGAAAAAGCAAUGUGCCCGGGUUGAAAACCUCAAGGAAGGGGAUGCCAUUCACCUAAGAGUGAAUGCGGGAAGAAGGAAAAAAUUGCGAGAAGAAGGAAAACAAUUAUCCACCGACUGAAGGUUGGGUCACCUCACACGACGAAAAGAAAAAGGAGGCAGAUGAUCAUUUCAAGAAAAAUUUCCACAAAGCGUAGAGGCGGACUAAGGACUUCAACUGGGAGGCCCUUCACUUUGAGAACGGAUAUUUAUCCAGCCUUGGCGACAAUAUCAGCAAAGCCGAGGUGCUUGCCGCCAUUACCCAACUGCCCGGGGACAAGGCCCCUGGCCCCGACGGUUUCACCGGAUCCUUCUUCAAAUCUUGUUGGGAAAUCAUAAAAGGGGACAUGAUGAAUGCGAUCAAUUCCUUCUCAAACUUACAAGCGACAAACUUACGUUGGCUCAACGCGGCGAAUACAGUGUUACUAACCAAGAAGGAUGGCGUGGAAGAUAUUACAGACUUUGAUCCAAUCAGCUUGAUCCACUCUUUCGCAAAAAUCAUCACGAAGAUCAUGGUUAAUAGACUAGCUUCAUUCAUGAAUAAACUCGUUUCCAGAGCCCAGAGCGCUUUUAUCAAGACUAGAAGCAUACACGACAACUUUAUGUUUGUCACAGGCUUCAUCGGGCGCUUGCAUUGAUAUAGAACGCUGGCUCUUCUCCUCAAGCUAGAUAUCAAAAAGGCUUUCGACUCGAUUCGUUGGGACUACAUGCUCGACUUGCUGCAGCGUCGCGGCUUCCCUGCUAAAUUCCGAAACUGGAUUACCGCUUUGUGGGCCUCGUCCUCUUCAAGGGUGCUUCUCAAUGGCGUGCCAGGGGAUCCGAUUAAACUUGGGUAGGGGUUGCGGCAGGGCGAUCCGCCAUCCCCCCUACUCUUUGUCAUCGCCAUUGAUCCCCUACAAUAACUCGUAAUCAGAGGCACGGAUCAUGGCCUCCUCCACCGUCUAAGGGAUUGUACAACCACUAUCCACACUUCUUUGUAUGCUCGCGAAGCCGCGGUUUUUGUCGCUCCAAUCAAGGAGGAUAUUGACCACCUAUCGGUCAUUUUGACUGCUUUGGAGAAGUGACGGGCUUGAUGGCCAAUCUGUUAAACAUCAUGUCGCCCCAUUCGUUGUCGCGACCUUGACCUCGACGCAAUCCUGGAGAACUUUCCGGCAAAAUGAGUCGGCUUCCCAAUGCGGUACCUAGAGCUACCGUUAUCCACUCAUUGUCCCAAGAAGUCAGUCUAUCAAUUCCUGGUGGAUAAGGUGGAGGCCAAGCUUCCGCCAUGGCAAGGAAAAAAUAUCAAAACGGCCGGUCAUACCUCUCUCGUCAAAUCAGUGUUGACAUCCGUGGUUAUCUAUCACAUUUCAACACUAGAUAUACCUCGGACACCAAUGAAAGCAUCACCAAGAUUCAACGUGCCUUCCUAUGGGCUGGAACCGAGCAGGUCUCAAGCGGGAAAUAAAGUGAACUGGAAGACGGUAUGUCGACCUACCAACCUUGGCGGUCUCAGCAUUCUGGACCUCGACAAGUUUGCUAGAGCUCUCGGACUUCAAUGGUUGUGGUUUGCCUAGGUGGACCCAGAGAGAGCUUGGGUCGGUUUAGAAACCCCUUGUAACGAUGAAGACAAGGAGAUUUUCUAUGCGACAACAACUAUCACCAUUGGCGUUGGAUUGACGGCUAGCUUCUGGCACUCGCCAUGCUAAAUGGACAAAAGCCUAAGGACAUCGCACCGGGCAUCUUCGCCCUCUCCAAACGCACCGCUUAUUGCAUUGCCAAGGCUUUAAAUAACAAUGAGUGGGUCUGACACAUCAACAUGCAGGGCGGCCUUUCGAUGACCCUAGUCCAGCGAUUCUAUUCUCUUUGGUGCAAGUCGCGGGAGGUUCAGCUCGUCCCGGGCGAGCGAGACGGGAUUCGAUGGAAAUUCACAGUGGAUGCCUGCUACUCCGCAGCCACGGCUUACAGAAUGCAGUUUGCCGGAUUGAUCAAGUCGGAAAUGCCUAAGAUGGUCCGGAAAAUUUGUCCCCUCCGAAGAUUAAAUUCUUCUCCUGGCUGAGAGCGCAGGUAGAGUCUGGACGGCGGACAGACUGCUUCAUGGGGGUUGGCCAAACUAUUGCCUUUGUCAGCUAUGCAAGAGGGUACCGGAAACUGCGGCCCACAUAAUAUUCAAAUGUCAAUUCACGAUAAGGGUGUGAAACUCCAUCUACAAUUGGCUCGGUUGGCAAUCGGUCACACCUACAUGGAGCGACAUUCACACAAUCAAAAAAUGGUGGAAUGCGAGCGAGGGAGAGCCGGGAUACUCAAGGAAGGCGGUACACUCAUUGCAAAUGCUUUAUGCUGGGAGAUGGAAUGAAAGGAAUGCUCGAGUUUUCCAUAACAAGGCAUCGUUACCCACUCGCGUAGUGGCAUCUGGCAUGGGCUAGAUUUCUGGGCAACAUUCACCAGGAGAGUGCUUCGCUGUUGGACCUGUCCUGUAAUCGUUAAAAAACAUUGUUCUUCUUCUUAUUAUUAUUUAAUGGGAUGAGCCAAAAAAAUUGCCUCCGUUUAAAACAAAACUUGUGCAAUGUAAACACACCGGAACCAACGGUGCUGUCACUGACCUUUACAAAUUGCGUUCGGUUUCCGAGUAUUAGUCAAAGCGCACUAGGACUACGCCCAGCGUUAUCCCCAUCGUCGCAGCUGGGGCUCUAUAAAUACCCACCCUCCUGCCAGAUUGUAAAAGGUCGUGAAACAGAGCAAGCAAGAACAAGAGCAAGAAUAUAUCCAUCCAUACAGCAGCUCAGCCAGCAUAGCUUCCUUUCCUUUCUCCCUGAGGUCCUUCCGUUGCGUUCCAGAAACCAGAAACUUGCAAGCAUGGGCAGAUCUGCUGGAGCUCCUCAGGUCCUCCCGGCGCACCAGAAAGACGAGGACCUGUUCGAGACCUCCUCCUUCUCCUGCGACUCCGACGACGAGGCCCGGUUUUCAGACGGCGAGGACCAGUUUGUGCCGGCUUCCACGCCGCGGAGACUGAAUCCCG